AAAAGCGAAUAAAAAUCCAGAAAAUAAUUGCGACUCUUAGAAUAUAGUUGUGAAGAGGAGUUGAAUGUAUCACCGGGGUUUAAACUGUCAUCUGCUGCAUCAACAUGAAUAGAAGAACUCCACCACAACCACAGGUGCAUGAAAGCAAGCACAAGUUUCUGAAGGAUAAGCCUCAUUUGCAAGAGGGUGAGAGUGUGAUACUGUGGUAAGUUGAAAUAAUGUGCAUGUACUUUUUAAAUGCAAUUUUUGUUGUUGAAAUGUUAGUGAACAAGUGACUUAUCUUAAUUAUUUUGGUUGUAAAAAAUUACCUGUUAAAGCAUAUCAGAAAGCAAACUUCAUAAAAACUAAAAUCUGAAGUGAGGUUGUCAUAUUCAUUGUAUAAAAAUAACUAUACAAUAUUUUUUUUCCAUAAAAUAAUUAUUGUUAUUAUAUAACAUUGUAAGUCGAUCAUAAUAAUUUCUAAAGAAUUGGCGAAGUGAUAACAAAAAGAAUCAUAAGAUUUAAUCAUUGUAAAGUGAUUUAUUUGUUUUGCAAUUACUAUUAUUAUUAUUAUUUAAAUAACAUUCUGUCAAGUAAUGCUUAUUUAUCAGCAAAAAAAUAAAAUGUCACUGGUCAUAAUAAAUAAUUACAAAAAUAUUAUUAGUGAAUAAAAAUAAAUAUAUUAUUUAGUUGAGUAAGACACCAAAAAUAAUAUAAUUAUUUUAAUUUAAAAUAUUUUUUAUUAUUUUUUGUUUUCAGCCUUAAACAAAGGAAAUUAAAGAAAACACUAAAGCAUAAUAUCAAGACUAAAAGUAAUAAAAAUGUUAGAGGAAUUUAACUUAAGUGCAUAACUUUAAACAUGCAUAAGCCUUGUUAAAAUCAUUUUAAAUGUACAAUUUGAAUACACAUAAUAUUGUUAUUAUCUAUGUGUGUAUAUAGAUAUAUUAAAAUACAUAUCUAAAAAUUAAGACAAGGAAAACAUGAAAAGGUUAUAAUUAACAAGUAUAUAAAUUACAAUUUCAAUACCAGUUUAGAAUUUCUGAAACUCGUGUUCUAGAUAUGACCAACCCUUUUCUGUUGGAAAGAAAAAGAAAGGAUCUUUCAGUAAAAGAAAAGAAAAGUAUCACUUAUCUUUACUAAAAAAAUUGAAAAAAGUAUGGAUAAGUUGAAUGAAUACUCGGAGUUAGAUUGUAUUUAAGGUACAUAUUUUAUAAACACUUAUAAAAUUUAAAAAACCAUCAUUUCUUUAUACAAGGUAAGAUUACUAUAAAUAAAUUAAAAAUUAUAUUUACAAAAUUAAUAAAAAUAAUUUUUACAAAUAUUUAAAUAUGUUUAAUUCAUAAACGAAUUAACUUUUAAAAUGUUUACACAUGAUAUCAAUAUAAAGUGAAAGACAUUAACAAUGGCCAACAAAACUUCGUGUUGUGGGACCUAUAUCUUUCAUUUCCUUUUGGUUUUGAGUAAUCUCUUCUCUUCCAUUAUUGAACUUUCAAAGAUAUGGAUAUCAUUUUAGUAUGGAUAAGUUUAACACCUUUUUUUCACAAUUGGAAAAUUAUAGUUCAUAUUUAUUAGAGGUCCAUUAUAAUUUUAAAAGAAUUAGUAUAUAAAAGCAACUUACAAGAGGCUUGAAUCUAUGUUAUUUUCUAUAUUGUGUUUAAGUUUACUAAUUUUAGCUUUUAUCUAUUUAACUAUAAUUUUUUCCAAGGUUUUGUUUUUAAAUUAAACAAUUUUGAUUUAUUGUCAACACACUAGUGCAAAAUAUAAAAAUAAUGACCAUUUAUUUAAUGCGUUUUUACUGUCAGAUGCUAUCAUUUAAAAUACGGUGCUAUUUUUUAAAUUAACUUCAUUUAAGAAUGCGACUAUUAGGUAAAGUCGCAUUCUUAAAACAAAGCGCUUUGUUUAUGAAUGCGGCUUUAUCUAAUACUUGCAUUCUUAAAACAUUUUUUACCCUUACUCAGAAACGCACCACAUAUGUUUUCAUACUUUCAUUUCUCUGGCACUUGGUUUCUCUUCUAUUCUUCUACUAGGUGCUUCCUAUCUUCUUAUAUCCACAUUGCAUGCAUUUUCUUCAUGUCAUCGAUGAGUCGUUUGGAGCUCUCUACUUCUUCUUCACCAUUGGUUUUUGUAUUUUUUCCAUUUCUCUUAUUUGUUUGUUUUCUGCCAUUGCUAGUCACCACUGUUUCAUUGGCACUGUUUGAAUUUUUACUGGGCCUUGCUCCGUCGCUGCUGCAGGUCUCGCGCCGCUCUUCACCACCAUCAUUGCCUUCACGCACAAGGUUGGUGGUGUUUUAUAUUUUUUAAUGUUAUUAAUUUGUUUAUUUAUUAUAGUUUGUAUUUUUUAAAUUUAUAUUAUUUUUGUUUUUAGGUUAGAAUAGAAUUAUUAAAUUAUUAGAUGAUAGAUAUAUUUAUAUUAUUGAUAUGUGCUAUAUUGAGUAUGGGGGUGUUCGAUCCUCAGCAAAUGUGACAUAGAACACUAAUUAGAAAACACCUGAAUGACUAUUACAGAAUAUAAUGGAUCAAAAUUGGAUUAAUUUUGUUCGCAUAAGUGAUAAGUACGAAAGAUGAGUAAAAGAAUUUAUACAAUUUGCGCAACAUAACGCGAAUAAUAAUGGUCAUGAUGGAGCAAAGAUCAGGUGUGCAUGCAUUAACUCUUUGAAUGGAAGGAUAUUGGAUGUUAAGAUAGUCAGGGGGCACCUUCUAUCUGGUGGGUUUCUUCGAUCUUAUACAACUUGGACAUGGUAUGGUGAAUUAUUAAAUUUACCAUGUUAUUCCGUAACUGAAGAAUAUGUGGGGUCCACCAUGGAUGAUGCAGUACAUGAUGAUGUAGAAGAUGAUCGAUAUGAUUUGUGAUGUGGGAGCUGAGUCUUUUGCAAAAGCGCAUGGAUAUGGAAGUAUGUCAAUCGAUGCAGAGACUCCAUUGUAUCCUGGAUCAACCAACUUCACACGGUUGUCGGCGGUGUUAAGAUUGAUGAAUUUGAAGACAAUAAAUGGAUGGACUGAUAAAAGCUUCACAGAAUUGCUUUAAUUGUUGAAGGAUAUGCUUCCAGAGGGAAACACCCUACCUAAUCGUAAGAGAGGUUAGAUUGUGUGGACCAGUGUACUUAAGAUGGAUGUAUCCUGUUGAGCGGUAUAUGAAAACUUUGAAAGGUUAUAUGAAAAAUCAUUAUCGUUCAGAAGCUUCAAUGAUUGAAAGGUACAUAGCUGAAGAAAGUACGUAUUAAAUUUUGUUCAGAGUACAUGUCAAAAGCAAAUCCAAUAGGUCUUCCAACUACUUCAUGGCACCACAGGCGUUCUACAAGUAAAUGUUUACGUGGUGUGAAUAUUGUAAGCAAAUCUCAAUCAGAAGUCUUGCAAGCACAUUUGUAUAUAUUAAAUAACACAGAUGAAGUUAUACCUUACAUAAAAGCUCAUAAAGUCAUUGUGAAGGCAAAUAACCCAAGAGAAGCAGAGAAAUGGGUAUUGAUGGAACAUAAUAGAACAUUCAUGCCUUGGUUUAAAGACGAGGUGUUAAAGGAUUCAACGACAUUGAAGACCUUGACCUGGUUGGCUGCUGAAUUGAAGUUUGAUGUCAUUUCUUGUACAGCGUACGAAGAGAACAAUUGUAUAUUUUACACGAAAUCUAUGGAUGAAAAUAGUACAAUUAAAAAUUCUGGUGUUAAUCUUGAAGUCGACUCAAUGCAGUUUUCCACUUCGAAAGAUACAAAUCUUGUACUUGGAUCAAUGACAAACUAUGGUUUUACAGAAGAGAUAUGGGAGGUUGACUAUACUAAGUUUUUUGUUCUAGUUUUCAAGUGUAAAUGGGUUGAAAAUAAAAGUGGGGUUAAAAUUGAUGAAUCUAAAUUCACACCAAUGGACUUUUGAAAGAUAGGGUAUCGAGAUGAGCCAUUUAUAAUGGUUCAACAAGCAUCUCAAGUUUUUUACGUCAAAGAUCCUACGUCAAAACAUCGGUAUGUCGUUUUACACGGGAAAAAACAAGGGAAGGUCAUAGAUGAUAUUGAAAAUGGUGACCCCCGUUCAUUCACACCAAUGAUAAUUAAUAAAGAUGACAAUGUAGUUGAUGAUGUACAUGCAACCCGUAAGACCAUAAUGAAGGAAUUUACACAUGAACAGUCAUCCUACUAUGGUAAUAAAUCUAGAAAUAUUUUUGAUAAUACACAUUUAGAAUUUUAUGUAUUUGUUUUAUAUGAUCUUCUUUUGACGCAGAUAUGGAUGACGAUCAAACGCCAAUCAGACCCUAAUUUGGACGAGGCAGUAAAAGACCUACUAGAUUGAAAUGUCUCUCAUUGAGAUGUGCUGCUGGUGAGAAUACACGUGUUGACAUUUAUGCCAACACUGGAGUGGCUUCUGCUCCUAAUGUUGAGACGUUUAAUCUCUAUCUUGGAGUUAUUUCUCGUGAGAGGCUCUCCAUUUUGAUUAAUUCAUGGGAUGAUGUGUUAGAAGUCGAUCGAAACAUGCUUUGGGAGGAUGCUCAGGCAAGCUCUACAUUAUUAUCGUUAUCAUAUAAUGCUUUUUAACAUUCAUUGAUUAGUUUUAAUUUAAUGAUAUUAUGUUGUAGACAAAUUUUGAAAUCCCUAAUGUGGAACCGUGCGGUGAAGGUCACCACUGCUUCAUUGUCUGUUGUUUGGGUUUUUGUUAUGCUGUAUUUGCUCCGUCGUUGUUGUUGUUGUUGUUGCCUUAAGGUUUAGGGUUUUAAUUUAUUUUUAUUUUUAAAAAAGAAGAAUGCGACUAUUUACCAUAGGUACAUUUAUAAAUUGCAUUUACGAAUGCGGCUAAAUAGCCGCACUUGUAAAUCUUCGAUUUAAGAGUGCAUGUUGAUCAAGUGCGACUAUAUAGCCGCCCUUAUAAAUGUAAAAUAGCCGCACUCGUUUUUCCUUUCUGCACCACUGAAAACUCAACCAAACAACUUUUUUUUCAUGCUCAAACUCACUCAUAGGCUUUAAAGAUAAAGUGUAUUCUAUUAUCAAAUGUGUGAUUUUACAUGAGCAAAGGUGCUCUUUUAUAGCCUAAGAGUCAUGAAAAUUAAGCCUCUAAGGAGAGUGUGAGACUUCUUAACACAUGAUUUCCUUAGGAUUUUCUUAUUCUACCCUAAGUUAGACUUAUUCUAAGAAACAAACACCAAAACUAUGAAGAAGAUAACAAACAAGACCACACAAGUUGUAGAUUUUUUUCUCUUUGGAUUCUUCUAUAUUUUUUACAUUUUAUAAGAGUCCUAAAGUCUUAUUGACUUGAUGAAGUUCUUAAUUUAACACCUUAACCUUGCUUCUUAUAAGAACUUCUCUAAAAUCCUCUCGGAUGGUCCGUAUUCUUUUCCAUUUCUUUAACUUUCCUUGUUUCUUGUGAUCACUCCGUCUUGUGUUGAUAUAUUUUGAACCAUGAUCUCCUCAUUAUAUAGCAAUACUAUAAGUGACUCACAUAAAACAUGUAUAGAGUAAAAAAACACAUGAACAAUGUUUGUCAAUUAGAUGGUUUCACCAUAUUGUUCAAGUCUUAGUAGGCGCUAAUAAACCAAAUGGUCUACUAAGACCAUCUACCAAAUAUGGUAGAAACUGUAUAUGAAGCUCUGGAAGGUCUAACAUGAAAAGACAGUCUAGUAACCUUUAAAUAAGAUUUUAUUGAAUCAAUCUUCACCCAUUUAAAUGAUUUGAGGAACAAAUUAAAAAUAAAAGCAAAUGUUUACUAUCUUAAAAAUAUAACAAACAUUUCUUAACUUGCAAUGAAUAAGUAAAUAUCUAGUUUCUUUUUUAAUUAGUACAUAGCUCACUCAGAUUUGUUCUAUUUCCAACGAAGUAGUAAUUUCUACUGUAGAACUAGUACACAACUCUGAAGAAAAUAACUUCUCAUUAAACAUCUCUCUUUGAAUAUAAAAUGCUGGUUUUUUAGGUAAAGACACUAUUGCACUCUUGUUUGUCAACAUUGAUAUAACGUCAGACAUUGUUGGUCGAUCAUUUGCAUAUUGUUCAACACAUAGGAGACCAACAUGAAUACACCUUUGCACUUCAUCAUAAUCAAGUGACUCAUUUAAUGAUGGAUCCACUGAUUGAAAACACUUGUCAUCUAUCCAUAGUUCCCAUACCUAUAAGUGUUUUGUUCAAAUUAGACAAAAAGAAUAUUAUACCAAAAAACAAACUCAUCAAAGCUAAUUUUACAUACAUGUCCAAUUAGAUUUAUUGGGCGAUCCUCGUCAUAAAAACUAGUGUUUUUUCGUCCACUAACAAUUUCAAGUAACAAGACCCCGAAACUAUAUACAUCAGACUUUGUAGAAAAAACUCCUUCCAUAGCAUAUUCUGGAGACAUGUAACCACUGCAAGAAAUAUUACAUCAGAAAAUAAAUUUUAUUUAUAGAUUGAUAUAUAAGAUAAAUAUAACCAAGUUUAACAAGCUUACUAUGUCCCAACAACCCUGUUCGUAUUUGAUACUGAGUCUUGUUGGGUGAACAUUCUAGCCAUUCCAAAAUCUGAAAUUUUUGGAUUCAUAUUUUCAUCGAGAAGUAUAUUACUAGCUUUCAAGUCUCUAUGAAUGAUUUUGAGUCUUGAGUACUUGUGAAGAUACAAUAAUCCUUGAGCAAUUCCUUGUAUUAUGUUGAACCGCUUAUUCCAAUCUAGUAAUUUGCUUCUUGUACAAUCUUCCACAUGGUCAUAAAGUGAUGUGCGUUAGAAUGUAUGUAAAAAGAAAUAAAUGACUUUUCUUCAUGAUGUUCUAACUACUAGGAAAAUUGAGUAAUUAUAGUAAAUCUAUCAUCAACAAACAACAAUGAGAGUUGAGAAAGAUCAAUGUUGACCUAAAUAUGUGUUUGAAUAGUUGCAUAAUAAUGAAAACAAGUUUUAUCUGUUUGACAUGUUAAACAACACAUAAUCAGAAAACAUAAUUAGAUAAUGUUCAACACAUUCCUCACCGAAAAGAUAGAAAUCCAAGCUUUUGUUGGGCAUAUACUCGUAAAUUAGAAUCUUCUCUUCUUCAUGAAUGCAACAACCAAGUAGUUGAACAAGAUUCAUGUGCUGAAGUUCACAUAUAAAUGUUAGUUCGUUUUUAAACUCUACAAUUCCUUGUGUAGAACUUUUUGCAAGUCUUUUUAUAGCAACCUCCUCUCCUGUUGGCAAAGUUCCCUAAAGAAAUGAGAACAAAAAGACCAUGAGUCCAACGAAAUAAAGUUAGCAGCACAUAACAUGAGCAGUUUCGAUCACCUUAUAAACUGGUCCAAAGCCUCCUUGUCCUAACUUAUUCUCUGAUGAAAACCCAUUUGUGGCUUCCACAACCAUGGUAUAAUCGAAUACUUUUAAACCGUGUCCCUUGUUCAAAUCAUUUCCAAAAUCUUCGAUUAGAGUCAUUUCUUUCCUUUUCUUCUCUGAUGAAAAUAAGAAAUAUUAAAAUAUAGAAAAGUGAUCAAAAGAUUUUGUUUAACAAUGAGUUUGAAAUAGGUUACUACCUUGAAGCACAUGUUUUCGUUUCUUUAUUGCCAGGCAUAGAAUGGAUGCGCAUAUUAUGAGUAAAGUAGCUGCUAUUACUGUACUUAUCCAUAUCCACCUCUUUGUACCUGCUUACAACAACUCAAAAUCUUCAAGUACCAAUUAUUAAUUUUAUGGCUUUAUAAUUAUUUGCAAUGCCAUUGUUAAGCGUUGCAGCCAAUGAGUUCUUCCCUUUUCAACUUGGAGAUCAAAGACUGCUAAAAAAAGAAAUUAUUCACUCUUGAUAAAGGGUGUAUUCAAUUUAGGUAUGAUUGGAAUCUUUAGACUUUGCAGUACGCAAUUUAGGGUAUGAUUGGAAGCAUUAGAAAUGAAACUUCUUUUUUGUCUAUAAAAAAUGAAAUGAAGUUGGCAUUAGACAUACCGUGAUGAUGAGGGACUAUGUUCCCUUUGUUCUCCAGUACGUAAAUGUCUUCACCCGAAACAGUGCCGUCAACUAUAUAAUCUUUUGAUGAAAUCCAAUGAUAGAAUAUACAUCCACUUCCAUCAUUAUAGUAUUCUUUGAAUCCAUUGCAAUAACAAUUGCUCCAGCAAGCACCCUCACAAUCGCUGUAACUAAUAUUCUUAUUAUCGUCAUAAGUUACGUUUUCAUAAUUAGAGCGAAGACUCUUUUUGGUAAACACUUCAUCAGGAAUCCUGCAUUUAGGUAUAUCCUGCCAUCUUUGGCACCCUCCUUCUGUGUUGUUGUAUCCAAAACACAGAUCAGCCCUUGCAACGAAUCCACCGUUGCUAUUGUAAAGUAACUGCCCAGUACCAGACAGGAACCACUGACUUGUAUGGCUUUCAUUUGUAGAUGUGAAAGAGAAGGUGUCUUCAUCCUCAUUGGAGACUAUGCUGUACUUCAACACGCCUUGUGCAUCUUCCGGAAUGUUCUCAAAUCUAUUGUUCCUCAGUUUCCCACUUUUCCAACAAACUUUUCCUCGCCUCCUUAUCAUCAGUUCUUGUCCCCUCGGUUCCCAUUCAAGACUAAAGCCACCUCGAGUCGCUCUCGCAUAGAUCAACUGCGAAAAAAGUAACCAACGAUGGCCUGUUUUGUGAUUAACACCUAACUUCAUGGUGGGGAUCAAAGUGUCAGUGGGAUAAUCGAAACUCUGCCACAAGAGAGUUGUUGUCCCAUUGGAGUGAAGGUGAUGAAGAACAAAGUUGCCUGUGUCCAACAAAGUGGCCACAGUGUUGUUGAUAGGUUGAGGUGGAGAAUACAGAAUAAUUGAUUUUUUGACAGAUGCAUAUUCUAUUUUGAGCACGCCAGAUAGGUUUAAGGAUAGAACUGGAUCGCUCGCGACGACAGAUUGUUCUUUAUUAGCGUCCCAAACUAUAGCAUGUUCAUUUAGUAUUGCUAAGUAAGGAAAAAAAUCAACUCGACCUGCAAUAGUAAUAAAUUCCAGAAGAUAUUUGCGACUCUUAGAAUAUAGUGGUGAAGUGGAGUUGAGUGUAUCACCGGGGUUUAAACUGUCAUCUGCUGCAUCAACAUGAAUAGAAGAACUCAACCACAACCAGAGGUGCAUGAAAGCAAGCACAAGUUUCUGAAGAAUAAGCCUCAUAGGAUGCUUCAAAUGUGGAAAGACUAGUCUGCAAGAGAGUGAGAGUGUGAUACUGUGGUAAGUUCAAAUACCUUAUCUGUUAGAGCAUCGGAAAGCAAUAUCAAACCUAAAUAAUUGGCCAAGUGAUACUACAAUAAAAUUACUAAAUAAAAAGUGAUCAAAAUAAUUAGUUAUAAUAAAAUAAAGAUAUUUUAAAAAUUAAAAAUAAAUUAAUUUUUAAAUUAUUUUAUAUUAUUUUUAAAUAAUUUUUAAAUUAGUAUCUAGUUAACAACUAAAGUUUUAACUACUAAUUAUUUAGUUUCUAAAUUUGGUAGCAAAAACUUGAUUGGUAAUUAGAUACCAAUUUAGAAACAAUUUAAUAAUAAUAAAAACUAAUUUAAAAAAUUAAAUUUUUUUUUUUAAUUUUUAAAAUAAUCUUUAAUUUAAUUACUAUUACAACUCAUUAUUUUUGUUUUUACAAAUUAGUUUUUAUUUUAUUAUUUUUUUUUGUGUGAAAACAAAAAGAUCAUAAGACUUAAUUGAUUGUAACUGAUUUUUUUUUUCUGGAAAUACUACUACUAUUAUUAUCAUUAUUAUUAUUAUUUAAACAUUACAAAAAAAUUACAAAAAAUAAUUAAUUUAUAAAAAAAUAGUUAAUUAUUAUAUUUAUUAAAUUAGAUAUUAUUAAUAAAAUAUAGUUUUAAUAUAAAUAAUUAUUUUAAUUUUUAAAAUUUAUAAAACAAUUUUUAAAAUGUUAUCUAAUUAAUUAUGAGUAACUUAUAUUUUAAAUUUGGUGAUUAAUUAAAUAUUAGUUUAAAAAUAUUUAAUUAUCGUAAAAGUUAUUUUAAAUAUCAACUUUUAUAGUUUAUAAAAUAAUAUCUUUGUAAUAAUUAAUUAUUUUUUGUUUUAUUACAAUUAAUUUUUAUUUAAUAUUUUUUUUAGUAAUAUUUAUUUAUAAUAAUUAUAAUAAAAUAAAAAUUUAUAAAUUAUGUUUAUUUCAGCUAUGUAAGUCUAGAUAACACAGAACAAUUUAGAAUUUCUCAAAGUCGGUGUUCUAGAUGUGACCAACCUUUUCUGUUGGAAAGAAAAAGAAAAGAACUUUUAGUAAAAGAAAAGAAAAGUACCACUUAUCUUUACUAAAAUAAUUGAAAAACUAUGGAUAAUUGCUUACUCGGUGUUAGAUUGUACUUUUGAAGGUACAUGUUUUAUAAAAUAAAAGAAAGGUUCGUUUCUCUAUACAAGGUAAAAUUAUUUUAUAAAUAAAUUAAAAAUUAUAUUUUACAAAAUUAAUAAAAAUAAUUUUUACAAAUAUAUAAACUAUGUUUAAUUCAUAAAGGAAUUAAUUUUAAACAAAUUAAGAUGUUUGCAUAUGAUAUAUCAAUAUAAAGGGAAACACAUUAUCAAUGGCCGACAAAACUUUUUGCUUUUGAGUAAUCUCUUCUCUUCCAUGAUUGAACUUUCAAAUAUAUGAGAUAUCAUUUUAGCAUGGACAAGUUUAACACUUUUUUCUCACAAUAGGAAAAUAAUGAGGUCACAUUUAUUAGAGGUCCAUUAUAAUUUUAAAAGAAUUAGUAUACAAAAGGAACUUUAAAUUAGAAAGAGGCUUCAGUCUAUGUUUUCUUCUAUAUUGUGUUUAACUUUAUUAAUUUUAGUUUUUAUCUAUUUAACAUAAACUUUCUCACUGUUUUGUUUUUAAAUUAAACAAUUUUGAUUUCUUGUCAACAUGUAUAAUUUUAUUUUAUUUUUCAGCAAAGAAUUAAAUUAAAUAAAAGGGAAUACUUCAGGGGUAUCCCAACCCAUGUACAGAAGAAAGAAAGAAACCUAUCUAUAUCUAGAACAAAACCUCUUCCCUUCUUAAAAAAUAAUAAAACUUUCAACAAGGGACCAUAAACAGUUUGCACCAAGAACAGGUACCAUAACCUAGGUGACACAAGACAAGGCUUCAUUAGAGCUAAGCCACCACCAUCAACGAAACAAUUAAUUCUAUCAUUCCUCCAACACAUCACAAACCUUGCAUCCCCAUGGACUAUGUGUUGGAACACACAUCCAAAAAACCAAAUUGGCAGCAACAAAUAAUUAGCUGCAACACACAUCAAAUAGCAUUCUAGGAUUGAUACAAGCCUUGAUUUGGCCUUGGAAGUCAAUUGCUGUGAUUUGGCCUUGGAUAGCAUCUGCCAUAUCUACCAUCAGAACCACUGAUAGCAUCCUGCAUCCCUUCAUUUGGACUAAGCUGUCCCUGCAUAACGCUGUCAUGUAAUUAAAAAGGCAAACAGCACACUACUACAUCAUUUCCAUCUCCUUCCAAAUCUUCACCGUGGCACUUUAAGCACCUAACCCUUCCGAAUUGUUGUGCAAUCAUACCCAUAGCAAGAAAACUCACUCCACUAGAACCAGCAUCUAAACAGUAUUAUGGAAUGGCACUCAUCCUUGAGAUCAGAAUCUCUUAUGAAGUGGCAACCUCCAGUUGUGCUCAUCUUCUCCACCUUGUCUCCAACUUGGUCUCUAAAAUCCAGCAGCAUAUACUUCCUUAAUUGGUCCUAGAGAAUCAAUCUUGUAAAACCCUUCGUUGUCCUUUAGUCUUCUAUUGUUUUACCUUUCAAUCAUGACCGCCAACAAUGCUAACAAUGUAAGGUUCGUGUUCAUCUUUCACUCCACCUCUUCGAAAACCUCUCUAAGAAAACAACAAAUCUGCAGAAUUUGUUUCCUAUAUACCAGCAUACUUCAUGUAAUCCCACAGCAGAAUAACUCUUUCACCAUUGUCCCAUUUUGGCUAAAUGUUACGCAUUCUAAUUAUAAUCUCUUCUUUCUCAUCACUUACCUUUCAUCUUACCCUAUCCCCCUUUCUUAGAUAAAUUGUUACAGAUGGGUGCCUUCUUCCCAGUUGUUUAUCAAUGACUGACUCACCUUUUAACUUACUUGUUGGGUUCAGUUCUCUCGCUUUCGUUGUCUGCAAGAAUUUCUUACCAUUACAAUCUUCUUGCUCGUUAGGAAACACUUUUUUCUCCUCCCUGCAAAACAUCCAAGUAUAUUCAUCACAGCCUCACAACAGAAUAUUGAACCUCACCCUUCCAACUAUGCCAGCUUCUCCGUUCUCUGCUACUUAUUAUUGAACAUCUAUUCAUCCUGUUUACCUGCAUCACAAAACAACUACCUUCUACUCCACUUAAAAGACAUAAAAACAGAAUGUUCUAUAACCAUAGAUAUGCAAAUCAAACACAUUUCUUAGUACCAUCCAACCUAUCAUGCUUUAUGAAUAGAAUACGAAAUAGUUACACAGAUUGCAACAAGCUGAACUUAUUUUGUUACCAUCUUAAUAUAGGUUAGGGGUGAUAAAAUCCAUUCAAAAUAAGAGAAGUUCACUUUCCUUUCUUUAUAUUUCAUCCAAACCCAGGAUUGUACUUGUGCUAGAGUAAAGAUUUCCUCUGCAUCUACCUUACCUUGAUUAAAAAUAACCCUGUUUCUAUGCUUCCAUAUACACCACAUGACUGAAACCCACAUGUUUUUCCAUAAACUGUUGCCUUCUUGAUUUAAGCAUGAGCAUGAGAAUUGUUCGAAAUGACAAAUCAAAUCACUGUGGUUCACCGAACUAAUCUCCAACCAGCUGAGGCACAAAUUCCAAACUUUAAUUGAUUCCUCGCAUAAAAUUAAAUGUGCGUAGUUGUCUCCUCCUCCUUCCCACAUAAAACGCAUAAAGUAUCCUCCAUUACAACACCCCUUCUCUGCAGGUUCUGUUUAGUCGCAAUUCUAUUCGACAAAGCCCUCCACACGUAAAACAGGGUUGAGGGCAUAACCUUUAAACCCCAAAGAUGUUCAAACACCUCCGACCCCCUCCCAAUUGUGUGAUUUGCUAUCUUAUUAUAAGCUGAUUUUACCGAAAAAGAGUAUGAUGGAGGGUCAUUCCAAAACCUUUUGUCCUCAGUGUCUUGGUGUAAUGACACCUGUGAUAUUAUUGUCAUAAAAUCCUCUACCAUUAUUUUUUCCCACUCAAACCACUCUCUUCUCCAUCUAAAUUCCCACACCCAUCCUUCUGUAGACCAUCUUCCACAUCUAUUUAUGGUCUUAUCCUUCAAUUCUGAGUUAUUAUAUAAUCUUUCAAAUCUCUCUUUGAGUUGACCAGUAUCUAACCAUUCAUCUUUCCAAAAUUUGAUUUUUUCCCCUGAUCCCACUUUCCAGACUAAGUUCGCAUUGAACCAAUUAUUGCCUUGAUCUGAAGUUCUAACUUUUAUUAUAUCCUUCCACCAUCUAGAUGAGUUUGCUAGCCUCCUCGAAUCAUACUUCGAGUCUAGAACUUCCUUCCAAAGUCCUGUCUCUGGUGAUUCUAAUCUCCAUAACCAUUUAGCUAGCAAUGCCUUGUUGAACUCAUCGAUUCUCCUGAUUCCUAGUCCACCUUCCUUUUUCACUUUACAGAUGUUCUCCCAACUAAUCCAAGCGAUUUUACUCCCCUCUGCUCCCCACCCCGCACAAAAACUUUCUUUGUAGUUUUGUGAUCUCCUUGCACACUCCUACCGGGGCUUUAAAAAAUGAUAGAAAGAAAAGUGGUAUGGCGUUGAUGACAAAUUUUAUUAGGCAAACUCUUCCCGCGAAGGACAAGUUCCUCCCCUUCCAUACUGAAAGUUUCUUUCUAAUCUUUGAUAGGACAGGUUCCCAGAAGGAACACCUAGAUGGAUUACCACCUAUGGUUAGUCCUAGGUAUGUAAAGGGUAUAUCCAUAAGGCUACAAUGCAUUAUUUCCGAGUAUAGCUUCACCUCAUUUCUAUCUACUCAAAUUGCUCCAAUUUUGCUCUUAUGGAAAUUAACUUUGAGGCCCGAGCUUAGUUCAAAACAUCUUAAAAUGGCCUUUAUGCACAUAAUAUUCUGUACUUUCGAUUCACAUACAAAAAGAGUGUCGUCAGCAAAUUGGAGUAGAUUAAUUUCCACCUCCUUUCCCCCCACUUUUAUUCCGGAUAACAAUUUUUUUCUCGUAGCUUGUUUCACUAAUCCCGCCAGACCUUGUGCUACAAUCAAGAACAAGAACGGUGCCAUAGGGUCCCCUUGUCUAAGGCCUCUAGAGGGUUUAAAUUCUUUUGACGGGCUACCAUUUACCAAAACCGAGACUGUAGCUGAUUCAAGGCAUUCUCUAAUCCAUUGUAUCCAUCUUUUGCAAAACCCAAGUCUUUCCAUCAUAUAAAACAAGAACUCCUAACUCACCGAGUCGUACGCCUUUUCGAAAUCAAGUUUCACAAUGACCCCACUUUUUCUCCUUCUUUUCAAAUCAUCCAACACCUCAUUCACUACUAGAACGUUGUCUAAUAAUCCUCUAUUCGAUAAAAACGCCGAUUGUGAUCCAUCUAUCACCUUCUCUAUAACUUUUUUAACCCUGUUAGAUAACACUUUAGUCAGGAUUUUAUACAAACAGCCUACUAGUGAUAUGGGUCUAUAUUCUUCAAGAGAUUGGGGAUUUUCAGACUUUGGGAUCAGCGUUAGGAAGGAAGAAUUACAACCCUUCGGAAUUUUCCCUUCUCUGUGGAAACAAUUAAGAGCUCCCAUCACCUCCUUAUUUUAAAGACCCCAGUACUUUUUAAUGAAACUGAAAGUUACGCCGUCUGGACCAGGGCUUUUCUGACUAUCACAGUUCCAAAUUGCUUCCUUAAUUUCCUUUUCGUCAAAAGGAUCAGUUAAGAGUCUAUUGUCGGAUUCUGUUAUCUCCUCAAAAUCUACGUUAUCCAACCUCACGCCAAUGUCCUCAAUGGCCGACAUCUUUUUCUUGUAGAAUUCUUUCACCAUCUCCUUUACUGUAUUUGGCUCCUCCACCCAAUUACCUGAGUUAUGGCAAUGUAAACCUUUUUAUCUCGUUCCUUAAUCUCCUCCACUUAAUUGACACAUGGAAGUAUUUCGAGUUAGUGUCCCCCUGCUUGAUCCAAAGGUCUCUUGACUUUUGUUGUAAUAAAGAUUCAUUCCUCACAUUUAUAUCUUGUAAUUGGCUUAAGAGUUCUCUUCUUUCCCUAAUCUUUUCAUCAUUCAAUUCCUCUAUGUCAUCCUUCGUAUCCAACUCUUGUAUUUUCCUUAGAGUAUCAAGUUUUAACUUAUCAGUGUACCCAAAGACUUCUUUGUUCCAUCCUUUCAAGUCGCUCUUUAGCAUUUUCAAUUUCUCUUUUAUCAGUGUACCCAACAACUUCUUUGUUCCCUCCCAUUUUCUUUUGACAAAUAUUUCAAACUCCUUAUGGUCUUGCCAAAUAUAUAGGAACCUGAAUGGUUUUGGUCCCCAGUCAACCACAUUUGAUUUAAGCAGCAAUGCACAAUGGUUAGAAAUUUGUCUAUCCAAGACAUAUUGCUUACACCCUGGCCAAUGUUGCAGCCAUUCAAACGUAGUUAAAAUUCUGUCAAGCCUGCUCUUAGCUUUGCCAUUAGGUCUAUACUAAGUAAAUUUUCUUCCUAUGCAAGGUAUGUCCACCAUUUCCAGUUCAUCAAUAAAAUUAUUAAAACCUUGCAUUUCUCUCUUGUUACCACUCACUCGAUUUAUCCCUUUGCGUUCCCCUUCACUUCUUACAGAAUUGAAAUCCCCCAACAUGCACCAUAUUUUGCAAGGUUCAUUAUUUCUAAUCUGUUUUAAAUCUUCCCACAUAUGUAUUUUGUCUGGCAUAUUACACGAAGAAUACACAUUUACUAUGACUACAGGAAUAUUAUUCUCCUUAAAAAACCCGAAAAAAAUAUUGAACCGACUACUAAUUAUGCGGUUUGAACAAGUAAAGAACUUUUUGUGCCACAUCGUGAGAAUACCCCCUGCCCCAUUAGAUGGUUCGCUAUAGAUAUAGUCAAUUUCACUGUCUCCCCACAACUGACAACAUUUGUUGAAACUGAAAUUUACUGUUCUUACUUCUUGCAAACAUACCAUUCUGACACUUUCCUUUCUAAUGACAUCCUUAAUAUACCUCCACUUCACAGGGCUCCUGAACCCUCUUACGUUUAUUGAUAAAAUUUUCAUUUAUAACCCAUGUUUUCCCCUGCUUCUCUUUGUAAUUUUUGAUUCCUAUCCCUUUUUUCCAAAACUUCUAAGUUUAACAUAACGUUCCCUUCAACCCCACCCGUUGCUCCUAUUUGUUUACCCAAUUCCCAUAAUCUAAUCGUUUCUAAUGAACCGUGUUUUAGCCAAAAUAAGCGAUUGCAAUUAUUAAUAGCUAUGUCAGAAACUGAAUUGCUAAUUUGAGAUAAGACUGACCUUAAUUGCUUGCGUUCUACCCACUUGCUGUUUUUGCUUGAUUCUCCCACCCAGAAGACUCUUUUUUCCGUAGCAUCCACCUGCUUUAAGGGGUUUAGACCGUUGACUUGCGUUGUUUGGUUAAUCUUUCCUUCUGCCAAUUGUUGAAUCCCAUUCUUACUUUGCUCUUCGCAUCCUGUCUUCCUCUGCCCCAUGAACGGUAAGUAUGCAUCUCUUAUUCUAUCCGAUCUCAAAGCACUCCGAUUUUGGCUCCUAAAAUCGUUUUUUUCCGCCUCAACAGAACCUAUCUGUAGAUGUUUUUCGCCGUUCUCCCCCGCUGGUGCCGAAAGAAUAGAGUCUUCCACCCUCAGGAUUGAAAGAAUUGGGUCCUCCUCUCCCCCCUUCGUAGCACCCGACAAAGACGAUGCUUGAUGGGACAAAGGUCCUCCCUCUUUCUCUACCAUUUUCGGUAAACACGAUGAUAUACUCUUUCUUACCUUCGACACCGCAGUGGAAUUGGUUGAUGCCGUAAUGAAGUUCUCCUUACGAGGCUUCUCAAUGUGAGCGGUGACCUCUUUGUGCCAUGGGUACCCAGCUUGUUCAGAUUCGCCUAAAGAUUGUGAAAUUUCAGUGUCAAUCUCCCUCCCGCUAGAUCCCUUCCAUAACUUCUCUUCAUCCAUGCUUACCUUUGGGUCGUUUUUAUUAAAAAACACAUUGUGGUUACAAUCUCCACACCCCCCUUCUUUUGCCCGGUGAAUAAUUUGGUCCAUGUUGCUUUGGGCCAUCUUCGAAGGCCCAAUCCCCAUUGCCACGUCAGCCCUGUUUAGGACCGUUGGAAAAUCAAACCCUAGUUUUUCCUUUCCCCUGAAAUUGCCGCAAAUGGGUGCCGAAGUAGCUCCAUCGGAAUUUGCCAAAAAAGGCUUGAAACCUUGUAACUGUUCUAUUGGUUCAGAUUUCCGAUGAAGCUGUGCCGGCAUGGACUGAGCGUGACCCAUUUCCACCGUUGGUUCUUCGAAAUCGCAAUUCCCCGAUUGUCCUGAUGCAAGAGACGCUAAAGACUCCUCCUCUAUUUCGAUUCCCUCUGAUGUUUCAUCCCACUAACAUUGGCAAAGUUUGUGUUCUGGGACAGAGCAUUCUUCCUCCACCGAUAUCUGAUACAAAUUUUCAUUGAUUCUCAUGUAGUUGGUUAACUUUGCCUCACAUUCCACUGUUACUCUAAUUUUGAAUCUUGCAUACUCAAGUUCUUCCAGUGCCAGCGUUGCGUUAUCAACCUCCACAAGAGUUCCCAUUAAUGCUGCUAUGUGUUUGAAGCAGUCAGUAUUCCAUAAUUUCAACGGUAGCCCCCUACAUCUCACCCACACCAAUUUGUCCACCGCUACAAAUUGUUCUUCCCAUGGAAUGAUGGUGUCAAACAUUUCUUCAAACCAUACUUUAUUUUCUUCUAUCGCUUCAAGGAUCUUUGUUUCGUUUUCCCCCAUCAAUAGCACAUGGAACCCUCCCAAAAAUUUAACCUUUAUAUGACUGAGACCUUCCAAAAUAAAACAUUCAUUCAAACAUGAUACUUUGCUUAAAUCCGAGACUCUUCCAAUGUAGCACUUUUUUAGCCAAUCCCUUGGAGUUUCUUCUGCUCUAAAAUGAAUAGCCUGCACCCUUGACCUAUUCUGAGUUUGUUCACUAAUACUUUUACCAGUCUUAACAAUGUUUGCAUAUGUUUCUUUCUCUUUGGCCCUCCAUUCUUUUUUUGGUUCACUCUUUAUUUCUGAAACCUUCUCUUUCAACUUCAUAUUCCAUUCCUUUCUUGUUUCUGCUGGUCUAUUGUAUUUCGGCCUGUUAGCCUUCAGUUUCCAGCUUCCAAUCCAAAUUGUGUUCAGAUGAUUCUUUAGUUCCCUGACAUUCUGUACUCCCUGAAAUCUCACAAAACCAAACAUUUGCUUCUUAAUGUUCAACCUUCUUGAUAUGAAAAUAUCACUUACCCUUCCCCAUCUGCGGAAAAUCCUCCACAAAUCUGAUUCUUUGAUGUCGAAGGGAAAGUUGGAGAAGAAGAACGGAGUCCCUCCCGAAGUGUAGUCUGAGCUCAUGGAGGCAAAAGUCUGAUUUUGAUAUUAUUGAUCUUUUGUCAACAUGUAUAAUGCCACUCAACAUUAUUUCUAAGGUUAAUUAUGUGCGUUUAGUUAUGAAAGCCAUGUGGAGGGUAGGGUUUCAUAGCUGUUUUUGGGAAGCAUAUCAAAUCUAAUGUGGAUUGUGCGUUCGUAAAUGUGUAUGUUACGUGCAAUAUGAAAGAUAAAUUGGCUUUAUGGGAGAACCUCUCUUCUUUAAAAGCUACAACUCGGGAUCGAGCGUGUUGUCUCAUUAGUAAUUUUAAUGCGAUUAGAAAUCCUUUUGAGAGGAGAGUUAUUAUAGAAUGUGGCAGCCAAAAGUGUGAGAUCUUUGGUUUCAACGACUUCAUUGAAAGGAAUUUUUUGAUGCAAUUGCCUGUUGCGGGUAAGAAGUUUACGUGGUAUAAGGCAAAUGGGUAAGCUAAAAGAAGGAUUUACAAAGUUCUUGUUUCGGAUGAGUGGCUACAAAAGUGGCCUAUGGACAAACAAUAUAUCUUACCGAGGGAGGUCUCGGAUCAUUGUGCAAUUGUGGUUAAAUCAGUGGUGAGAGACUGGGGGUCGAAGCCUUUCAGGUCUUUAGAUGUGUGGUUGAAGGAGCCUGGGUUCAAGGAUAUGGUGAAGGAAAAAUAGAACUCUUGUCCUGGUCAAGGAAAUAGUAUGUUUGUGUUCAAAGUUAAAAUGAAGUGUCUGAAAGCAGAUCUUAAGAGGUGGAAUAGAGACUUGAUCGGGCACCUGGAAUCAGGAACAAUAUGGUUUUAAAGGAGAUUGAGGGGCUAGAUGGCCAAGAUGAAGAUGAUGCCCUACCUGAGAGUUUGAGGAUGAGGAGAGUAGCCCUCUUUAGUCAUGUAGAAGAGAUUAAUAAAAAACUUGAGUCUCUUUUCAGGCAGAAAGCUAGAAAUAAUUGGCUUGCGUUUGGGGAUUCUAACUCCAAGUUUUAUUAUUCUGUAAUCAGAUGGAGGAAGCUUAGGAAUGAGGUUAAGGGUGUUGAUAUGGGAGGUGUGUGGUGUGCGGAGCCUGAGGUUGUUCGUAGGGAGGCACUGAAGCUUUAUGAAGCUAGAUUUUCUGCUUCUCAAGAUUUUGGAGUCAGACUUGAUAACGUUGAGUUCAAGACCUUGUUUGUGGAGGUCAGUCUAAGUAUGGUAUCCAAAUUCUCUGAGGAAGAAGUUAAAAGUGCUAUUUGUUUGUGUGAGGGGUCAAAAAGCCCUGGUCCAGAUGACUUCAAUUCUAACUUUAUUAAGGGUAGAUGGGAAGUGUUGAAGCAUGAUAUUGUAGUUGUUGUUCACCUCUUUCAAGAGACGGGGGUGCAUCCCAAAAGGGUGUAAUGUGUCCUUCAUUACUUUUGUUCCUAAAGUGCAGGACCCUAUAAGUUUAGACCAAUACAGGUCAAUUUCUCUUAUGGGCUCGUUGUAUAAAAUUAUCACGAAGGUUUUAUCUUGUCGUAUCAAAAAAGUGUUACCUGAGGUUAUAGAUGAUUGCCAAACGACUUUUUUAAAGGACAGAGGGAUGCUAGAUAGCUGGGACGUGCUGAAGCAUGAUAUUGUAGUUGUUGUUCACCUCUUUCAGGAGACGGGGUGCAUCUCAAAAGGGUGUAAUGCGUCCUUCAUUACUCUUGUUCCUAAAAUGAAGGACCUUAUAAGUCUAGACCAAUACAGACCGGUUUUAUCGAUCGUAUUAAGAAAGUGUUACCUUUAACCACUACACCAAACAAAUUCUUUUGUCCUAUUAUGAAUUUUAUUAUAGUUAUUAUUAUUAUUAUUUUUAAUAUUGAUAUUAAUAUUAAUAUGAAUAUUAUCAUUAAUAUUAAUAUUGUUAUUAUUAAUAUUAAUAUUAAUAAAAAUAUUAAUAAUUUUAAUUUUAAUAUGAUUUAGAUGGAGACAAUCAAUAUGAAAUAUUAUUAUUGAUACUACUAUUUAUAUUUAUUUAUUUAUUUUUUAAUUUUUUAUAAUUUUAAUAUUAUAAUUUUAUUUAAUUAAAAAUCCGUAUGUAACGCUCACUUUACAUACGAAUCCAAAUCCGUAUGUAAAAUCUGUAUGUAAUGCUCACUUUACAUACGGAUGUAGAUUCGUAUGUAAAUAUCAAAUUUCUUGCAGUGUAUACCUAGGGUUAGAAGUUGGUGGUAACCCUAGAAGGAAAACGUUUUAAGAACCUAUUGUGAGUAACGUUAGUGUUAAGCUAAGUGUCUGGAAGGGGAUAAUCUUGUCGUUGACGGGUAGAAUCUGCUUGAUCAAGUGGGUUUUCACGUCCAUACCCCUGUUUUAUUUCUCCUUCUAUAAAGUUCCAAAAUUAGUGUGUGAUAAAAUUAUUAGCAUUCAGAGAAGCUUUUUGUGGGGAUAGGAAAGGAUAAAAUAUCUAUUGCGUGGGUGAGUUGGGACAAUCAUUGUAAACCUCGGGAGGAGUGAGGGAUUGGAAUUAAAGAUGUCAGAAUUUUCAAUGUGGCUCUCUUAGUAAAGUGGUAGUGGAGGCUCUUAAGUGAAGAAAAAGGAAGGUGGAAGGAUAUUUUUCUAUCUAAAUAUGACUCGCAAAUUGCCCAAAGUCAGUUAAAUGUGAAAUAUCACUCGUAUUGGUGGUGUGACUUAUCUAAAAGUAGUAGAGAGGGACAAGAUGGAGGUUGGUUUAAAGAAGUUGUACGGUGGAGAGUGGGUAGCGGGGACAAGGUCAGGUUCUGGGACGAUGCUUGGGCUGGUUGUACUCCUCUCAUCAAUACGUAUCGUAGGUUGUAUUUUGUGUCUAUGGAUAAGGGAAUGAUGGUGGCAGAUGUAGGGGAGUGGGAAGACUCUGUGUGGCACUGGGGGCUUAAGUGGAGAAGGGAUAGUUUCCAAUGGGAGACUACACAAGAAGAAGGGCUUCUAAGGCUCCUAGAAAGAGUCAAACUGCUUAAGGAGGUGAAGGAUAGGCAAGUAUGGGAUGGUGACGAAUCUGGAGAUUUUUCAGUAAAAAAAGCUUAUGCUCGUCUUGCAAAUCAUGGAAUUGGGCUUCAUCAGAAUGUAUUCAGGCUUUUUUUGUAUGUUUAAAGUUUUCCCAAAUAUCUUGACAACGACAUGGAGGGUAAUGGUGGAUCGUAUCCCAACAAGAGUUAAUCUCUCUAAGAGAGGGGUGGAGAUGUCUCACAUGAGUGUGUUAUGUGCCUAAUUGUAAACGAACCUUCACAACAUCUCUUCUUAAAGUGUAAGAUAGCUCAAGGGGUGUGUGGUCGUUGCUUUAGAUGGAUUGAUGUAUUGUUUGUCCAACAUGAUGACUUGAAGAAUCAUUUCGAGCAAUUCUGCUUACCACAAGGCUCAUUUUCUCAAAAUUUGGUGUGGAAAAGAAUGUGAAUGGUUGUGGUGUGGAGUAUCUAAACAAAGGAACCUUAUUAUCUUCAAGGAGGGAGUUGCAGAUGAGGAAGAAAUCUUCCAAAUGACGCAACUGAAGUGCUGGCUUUGGUUGAAAAGUAGAAUGCAUUCCUUUAUUUUUAUUUUUUCCUUUUCGGAAUGGUUGUUGAAUCCUAUUUUGUGUAUUAAGAACUAGAUGUGAAGUGUGUUUCUGAAAUCCUAGUGUUGUUAUGGAAGGGUGAGGUGUAUAAGUGGAUGAGAAGGAGUAGAUUUGUGGUAGGAGAGUUGUCUGAUGCAGGGAUUAUGUUGUCACCCACAAAAUGCCUAUGCUCUGUUGGUUCUGUUAUACCAGUCUAUGCAACUUUGUAGCAUAAUGCCACCACUCCCUGCUGGUUUUAUGUUGAUGUGCGCUAGCAGGGAUGAAGAUUAGUAGAGUUGUUGCCUCUGUGUUUUCAGUGUAGGUGAAGUUUUAAGGAGCUGUAGAAUUAGACAGCAGCUACAGAAAAUCAAUAGACAAAUUGUUCUUAGGUGGAGGAGAAAGAUGAAGAAGAGUGAGCUCUUAGUUAGGUGGAGGAUUCCUUGGGAAUGUAGAUAAGUGGAAGGGACCUUGGAAAACAGAUUAGGAGGAGGAAGCUGUAGAUACAGGGGAGGUUUUGUUUAUAUCAAAAGUUGCAGUUUUAUCUGUGAAGUUUCCUACAUAUUUGUGCAGUUCUAGUGCGUAGGAAAUUGCAACACACUUAGGCUUUUUCUGAAGCAUAAUUUUGUAGUAAGUUACCUUUCAUAAGGUUCAACAAGCAUUACAUAUAUCUUUUUCGGACAUUAUUGUCGGUCAGGCUGACGCAUGACUCAAAUUAUGCAUCAAUCAAGCUGACGCAAUAUUAUUAUUAUUUUCUUUUUUUUCACUUCCUCUUUUCGCAUCCCACAUGCGUCUGAAGGUCCACGAGAAAACGAUUUUGCAUUCACAUUGUGGGUUUGGUCGACACAAAUGACGUCCACGCUUGGUCGACGCAAAUAUAUGACAACUAAUGACGCAUUUUUUUGUAGUGAUAGGAUGUUUUCUUACUUAUCAUUUAUUGUUAAUUUGUCCUUUAAUGUGGUUGAUUGUCUGGUCGACCGGUAAAUGAUGUCGAGUGACGUGGUCAAUUUGACCUCAACUGGUACAUUUACAAUUUUGUUAAAAAAUUGAAAAUAAGGGUUAUUUUAAUAUAGAAACAACAUUUUUAUAAAGGUUAAAUUAAAGUGAUNNNNNNNNNNNNNNNNNNNNNNNNNNNNNNNNNNNNNNNNNNNNNNNNNNNNNNNNNNNNNNNNNNNNNNNNNNNNNNNNNNNNNNNNNNNNNNNNNNNNUUGGUGAUGGACACUACCACGUUAGUAUACUCCAACGUCUCAAACUCAAUGAGUUGGACAACUUGCUUUGCAUAUCUUGUGAACAAUUCAUCCAUGUUAUCUUGCCCAAACUCAACUGACAAAACAGGUUCAAAAACAGCUCUAAUGGACUUAACUAUGAACUCUCCUUUCAUUUUGCUAUCAAGGUUAGAAUCACCAACAUCCUCAUGAAGAUUUGCGUCCCAACCUAUCUUGAAAGUCCUCAAUGCUUGAAUGGUAAAAGACCCUUCUGCUUCAAUCACUUGUCUAACUUCUUCAGCAGUGGGACCAUAUAUAGGUAGAUCAAAGCAGUCUAACUUUUUCUCAUCAAGUAGAACCUACAAUCAUAAAGAAACCUUAUUUCCUAUUGCUAGCUUUCUAGUAGCAAGCACGAAAAAUCCACCACAGGGUUAACAUCCAAUACAACACAAUAUACAAAAUCAAUGAUAAAAUAAUAAAAUGCGACCUAGUUAUAAAACAACAUAUAAAUUAUUAUAAAAUUUAGUGUAAAUUAUAGUUUUAAAUCAAAUUGAGGAAUCACAAUUUAUUACAAAGUAGAUUUUAAGCCUAACUCAACUCCAUAAAACCGACUCAUGAGGUGAGGUUUGCAUCUACUUAUAUACAAUGACCUAAUCUCUAGUCGAUGUGGGAUCUCGUGUGUGGGAUAACAUAUUAUGGGUGAUCCGAUAACGGUCCGAUAGCGGGUGACACGAUAGACCUAACAAACACUCGCUAGGAUAAACUUUAAAUGGUUCUGAUACCAUUUUAUAAAGUGAACUUUAAACCUAACUCAAUCCCAUAAAACCAGCUCAUGAGGUGAGGUUUGCACCCACUUAUAUACAAUGAAAUGUCUUAAUCUCUAGUCGAUUGGAUCUCCAUCACAGUUUUCAAAGUGAACACUAGUCCCUUUUCGUUGUGGAUUUGUAAUGUGCGAUAUGAAAAUAAAAGGAAAAUAGUUAUAAAGCGCAGUUAGUGGUUUGUGAUAUUAUGUCUGAUACACAUACACAAUAAUGCAACAACUAUUUUGAUGUGUUGGUGCAGUGUUGGCCAAUCAUCUAUAAACCUAAUCGCUUACCUCUUGGACCAUAUCAUUGAGUACCAUUCCGAUUACCUCUGCAGGAUUACCAAUUUUAUGGGUUUCUCUACCAAUGAACGUGAGUAACAUGCUACCACCCGACCUUAGUUCCUCCGAGCGUGAUUUAAGAAAAAGUUUGAAAUCCUUUUCAAAUUGCUUUAAGUAUGCUUCAUAGACUGAAGCAGGGUUGGCACUUUUUAUGUAAACGUUUCCCUUGUUGAGUGGUUCAGCUAUGUUGGUCGAAGUUGGUGCCUGAUACCAUACAAAUUGAGACCAAAGAGUUAACUUGGGAAUUGUAAAGCCAAAUAUAAAAUGUAGCAAUCUAUGACUUUAAAUGCUUGAGCCAGCACUUUUCUUUGCAAGUAAUUUGUAUCCAUAACAUAAUGGUAGGAAAAGCUUGGUUAAUUUGGUGGAAUUGACCUGAGAUAGCCAAUGCAGACUGUAGGAGGAAUGAAAGAAGUGGAUGUAAUCAUCAGGAAAAAGCUUUCCAUAGAAGUUUCCGGGUGUUGCAUGAAUAAAGAAUCUUCCAUGAUUCUGGUUUUUCUCUGUGUAUUCUUUCUAAGAAGUCAAGGAUCAACUUGAAGAAGCUGUUGAAGUCAUUUCCAAAUAGAUCAUCCAUGUAAAUUUGCAAUACACGAGGUGUACAUUGGAGGGACUGGGAUGGAUCAAGUCACGCUUCAGCGUUUUGUAGCGAUUCUUAAUUGUGAUACGAUGGCUUCUCUGUUCAUAUACUUGGGAAUGCCAGUUGGUGGGAGUCAUAAGUGCGGUGCUUUUUGGAAUGGGGUGAUUGAGAAAGUUUAGGCCAGAUUAAGUAGGUGGAAGGGAAGAUGUUUGUCGAUGGCUGGAAGGAUAUGCCUGAUCCGGUCUGUACUUUCGUCUAUUCCGUUAUUCUUUAUGUCGCUUUUCAAAUUGCCUUCUGGGGUGGCUGAGAAGUUGGUUAAGAUACAAAGAAAUUUUCUCUGGGGUUGGGGUGCAGAUGGAAGGAAGAUCGCUUGGGCUUCAUGGAACUUGGCUUGUAAGCCUCGUGAGUUCGGGGGGUUAGGUAUUAUAGAUCCAAAGUUGUUCAACUUGACUUUGUUGGGAAAGUGGAUUUGGAGGUUGGGUUCGGACGAGGGAGGCCUUUGGAAGGAAGUUCUCAUUUCUAAAUAUGGUGGGUGGAGAUUUAUGGGAGAGGGAGGUAAAGGCAGGAGUUGUUCUCUUUGGAGGAAGGAUUUGAAAGAGGUUUGGUCUUCAGAGAGCUGGGGGAGAAGUUUCGAAGACAGUUUUGAGUGGAAAGUAGGCGACGAAAAGGAUAUUUAUUUCUGGAAGGAUAGGUGGCUGAAGGGCGAGGCACUGAAGAACGUUUUUCCAAGACUAUUUUCGAUUAGCUCUAACAAAAACGCAAAUUUGUUGGAGUGUGGUUUUUGGUCUAAUGGAAGAUGGGUUUGGCAACUAGCUUGGAGAAGAUUUUUCUUCGAAUGGGAGAACCCGAUGGCGGAUCAGAUGAGCCAACUGCUGCUUGGGGCUGGGGCUGCCCCAAGAGAGGUUGAUAGUUGGAUUUGGAAGGAGGGGGGUCUCCAAACUUUUACAGUUAGUUUUGCUUACAACCUUGUCAGGAAGGACAAUGAGGUGGAUGCUUCGCCGAUUUUUAGCAAGUUAUGGAGGAGCAAGGCAGUUCCUUCUGCUUUGCUUUUGGCUUGGAGGGUGUUGGAAAACGAGCUUGCUACUAGGAUAAAUCUUAGAAGAAGAGAGGUGCAGUUAGAAAGUUUGAGGUGCGUUUUGUGUGGGAAGGAGGAAGAGUCCUGUAGUCAUUUAUUCUUCGGGUGCAGUUUUGCGUGGCGAGUUUGGAGUUUAUGUUACAGGUGGAUUGGGGUCUUGUUUGUGUCUCAUAUAGAGCUGAGGUUUAACUUCGAUCAAUUUAGGUUGAAUAUACCUUCUGAGUCGGUUCGUACUAUAUGGGACACAAUCUGGGUUGGGGUGGUUAGUGAAAUCUGGAGUCACAGGAAUCGCAUAAUUUUCAAAGGAGGAGUGGUUGAAGCGUUUGAAGUUUUUGCAUUGGUACAAGUUAAAGUUUGGUACUGGGUCACUACAAAGUCUCGGGGCGUUGCUUUCUCCUUUUCUGACUGGUGUCUAGAACCAUUGGUGUGUAUGAGGUUAGUUUCCUGAAGUUUGUUUGUAGGAUUAGUAAGGGCGAGGCUUUGUUUAGUUAGUUUUGGUGGUCUUUCGCGGGUUUGGUGUUGAGUUUUAUGUGUAUAAGGGUUGAACCACCCCUGAAGUAGUUCCAUUUUAUUUAUUUAUUUUGCCGAUCAAAAAACUCUGGUUUAAGCUCAAGCUAGCCUUAUCCAUUAGGGUUACCAUAGUUGACACAAAUAAGAGUGAAUUUGGCUCCAUUAGGGUUACCAUAGUUGACACAAAUAAGAGUGAAUUUGGACCCGAAGAGCAUCCCAAAUCAGCUACUUUCAAACAGCUUUCUGAAGUUAUGUUUGACAUCAACAGUUUUACAUUAUCUUCAAGUAUAGGUUUCACUAUGCUUCCCACUUCUCUCUACACCAAAUUUAAUUUGGGUCACCAUCUAAUAAUAUAUAUAUAUAUAUAUAUCAUUGUCAUAAACUCUUUUCUUUUUAGCAUAUUUGCAAGUACAAAAAAGAAAACCCUCUUUGUAUUUUAUAUGCGUUUUGUUUUAAUAAAAAUAUAUAAACUAUUUUAAUUAAUAAACUAAUUGUUUUAAAAAAAACUAUUACACAUUUGCACAUGAUAUCAAUAUGAAACACACUAACAAUGGCCGGCGACAAAACUUUUUGUGUUAUGGGACCUAUAUCUUUCAUUUUCUUUUGGUUUUUAGUAGUCACUUGUCUUUUAUGAUUGAACUUUCAAAGAUAUGGGAUAUUAUUUUAGUAGGGGCAAGUUUAACACUUUUUUUUCUCACAAUAGCAAAACUUAGUUCAUAUUUAUUAGAGGCCCAUUAUAAUUUUAAAAAAGUUAUACACAACUAACUCGAAAUUUUAGAAGAGGCUUGAAUCUAUGUUUUUUCUAUAAUUGUGUAUUAUUUUAUUAAUUUUACUUUUCAUCUAUCCAACUAUAAAUUUUCCCACGCUUUUGUUUUUAAAUUAAACAAUUUUAAUUGACUCUCAACAAUUUUAAAUCCCAUUCAAUAUUAUUUUCAAGGUUAAUUAAAGUUUUAUAAGCCGAAGACGUGUUAACCACAAUGGUAAUUGUCCUAGCCACGGUGCUAUCAGAGAAGGUCGUUCUCAACUCGAUGUACCCUCAUACCUUCACCUGAUCUCUCGCGAAGCGUUAAAAUAUGUUGCAUUACAACUUUAAUUUAAAAAAUUAAAAAUUGUUACAUACGGAUUCGUAUGUAACUCUGUUUUACAUACGGAUAUUUGGUCUUACAUACGGAUUUUGGUUGUAUGUAAUUGGAGAUUUUCUUGUAGUGAUAUCCUUCAACAACUGAAGCAAUUUCAUUAAGUUUUUAUCAAUCCAUCCAUUUAUUGCCUUCUAAUUCAUUAAUCUUAACACCGUCGACAACUGUGUGAAGUUAGUUGAUCCAGGAUACAAUGGAGUCUCUGCAUCGCUUGACAUAAUUCCAUAUCCAUGCGCUUCUACAAAAGACUCAGUUUCCACAUCACGAAUCAUGUCCUACAAUCGAUCAUCAUGUACAUUAUCAUGUAUUGCAUCAUCCAUGGUGGAUCCCACAUAUUCUUCAGUUACAAAAACAUGUGGUAAAUUUAAUAAUUCACCAUGUCAUGUCCAAGUUGUAUAAGAUCGAAGAAACUCAUCCCAUAGAAUGUGUUCCCUAAUUAUCUUCAAUUCAAAUAGUUAACACACGGACACUUGUUCUUUGCUCCAUCAUGACCAUUAUUAUUCAUGUGACGUUAUGCAAAAAGUAUAAAUUCUUUUACUUCUCUUUUGUACUCAUCACUUAUGCGAACAAAAUUAAUCCAAUUUCGAUCAAUUAUAUCCUGUAAUAGUCAUUCAGCUGUUUAAUAAUGAGUGUUCUAUCUCACACAUUUGCUGAGGGUCAAACACCCUCGGACUCAAUACCAACACGAUAAUUCUAUUCUAAACUAACAACUAACAUAAUAUAAAUUAAUAAUAAAUACAAAUUAUACUAAAUACAAAAUAUUAUAAAUUUUAAAAAAUAAAAAUUAUAAUAAAGAAAAAAUAAACAAAUUCAUAACAUUAAAAAAAUUCAAACAAAUUUAAAACACCACCAACCUUGUGCGUGAAGGCAACGUUGGUGAAGAGUGGCAAGAGACUGGCGACAGCAGACGCGACAACGGACGUGGCAGCAGCGCCGGAACAAAGCAAAAACUCACACAAGUAGCUACGAAGGCAAUGAAACAGUACUUCGAGAAAUGCAAGAAAACAAACAAAGUAAGAGAAACAAUUUUUUUUUAUAAAUCAUUGGAGAAGAAGAAAGAGAGCUCCAACGAACUUACAAUGGCACGACAACACAAUGAAGCUCGCAAAAGAAAAGCGAAACACCAGAGUAGAAAUAGAGAGCAAACACGAAGCGCAAAGAAGGGAAAGAAAGUAUGAAAGUGUAAGUGGCGCGCUUCACAGUUAGGGUAAAAAAUAAUUUAAGAAUGCGACUAUUAAAUAGCCGUAUUCUUAAAUCAUGCGCUUUGAUAUAAGAAUGCGGCUAUAGGUAAAGCCGCAUUCUUAAAUCAAACGCUUGAAUUUAAGAAUGCGACUAUUACGAAUAGCCGAAUUCUUAAAUCAAAGAGUAUGAUUUAAGAAUGUUGUUAUUAAAAAUAGCUAUAUUCGUAAAUGAAGUUAAUUUAAAAAAUGCCAUCGUGAUUUGAAUGACGGUGUCUAACCAUAAAAAUGCAUUAAGUAAAUAGUCGUUAUUUUUACAUUUUGCACUAGUGACAUUAUAACCCAAUAAUGCUCAACACUCAAUUUAUGCUUGCUAAAGUAAGAAAUUUAUGUAAUUUAGUUCUUAUUGUUUGUUGCUUCACAUAUUUUGUCAAUAAAAUUUCUUUUUUCUCUUAGUUAUUGCUAUUUAUUGUAAUUAUUUUUUCAAAAACUUUAUGAGAUAGUUAUUGAAUUAAAAUCAUUAAUUAGUUGUUUAUUUUAAAUUUGUUGAUUAAAUAAUAUAAUGAGCUUUAAAGUACAAAUGGAACCUACACACAUAUGACUAUAUUGGUAAUUACAUUUGUACAAUUAUAUUAUUUAUUUUUUUGAAUAGUUUAAAUCUUACCUGUUGCAUUAUUAAAAUGUGUUGACUUUCCUAAUAUGUGCAUUACAAGAAAUAUUGAUAUUAACCUCCCAAAAAGCUACACAAAAAUUAAAAAGAAGACACUAAACGAUAAUUAGAAUAAGUAAUUUAGUGUCUUUUUUAAUCUUUGUGUGAGUUUUUUUUUAUGCUAACAACAAUAGUUUUUUAAAUGGUGGUCAACACUUUAAAUUUGAUAGUUACAUUAAAUAAGUAUAUUUAUAAUUAUGUUUUGAAUUAUUAUUGUUAUAUCUAAUUUGUACUUUUAUUUUUUUCUUUUUUAUAUAUAUUAUUAUUUAUUAUUUAUUGUUACAUCUAAUUUUUAAUUUGUUUCUUUAUUUAUUAUAGAUAUACUUGCAAAAAUAAUGUUGCAUAGUAAUCUAUUUUAUUUUUUAAUAUUAUAAUUUUUUCUUAUUAUAAAAUUUUAUUAUUAUAAUUCAUUGUUUUAUAAAAUACCCGCGGGUUUUAAAAAAGUAAAAAUAUUUAAAUAUACCCAUGUGUCGGUCUAGCCGACGUAUCAAUUAAAUAUAUAUUUUCUAAACAUUAUUGUUGGUCAAGCUAACGCAUCAAUUAAAUAUAUCUUUUCUGGAUAUUAUUGUCGGCUAGACCGAUGCACGACUCAAAUUAUGCGUCAAUCUAGCUUAUACAAUAUUAUUAUUAUUAUUAUUAUUAUUAUUAUUAUUAUUAUUAUUAUUAUUAUUAUUAUUAUUAUUAUUAUUAUUAUUUCACUUCUUCUUUGCUCGUCUCACAUGCGUUGUAAGGCCCACGAGAAAAUGAUUUUGUGUUCGCAUUGUGUGGGUUUGGUCAACACAAAUGACGUCCACGCUUGGUCGACGCAAAUAUAUGGCAACUAAUGACGUGUUUUCUUGUAGUGAUAAGAUGUUUUCUUACUAAUAAUUUAUUGUUAGUUUGUCCCUUAAUGUGGUUGAUUACUUAGUCAGUCGGUGAAUGAUGUCGAGUGACGUGACCAAUUUAACCUGAACUGGUGUAUUUACAAUUUUGUUAAAAAGUUAAAAGUAAGGGUUAUUUUAAUUUGGAAACAGCAUUUUUAUAAAGGUUAAAUUAAAGUGAUCAAUAAAGAGAAAAAGUAUAAAUAUUAUCAAUGUAUGAAUUACAAAAUGAUACUAAACAUUAUUUAUCUUUGGGUAAACCAUCCGUGUAAAUUUGAGCUUUAUCAAGUCUAAUACACUAUUGAAAUCAAAAUAGAUACUAUAUAGAACCGAAUAUAUAUAUAUAUAUAUAAGAAUCCAAAAUGACAAGGCCACUAAACUAGCAUAAUCGAAGUAUAUAUAUAUUCAAGAAACUUUGGUGAUGGACACUACCACGUUAGUAUACUCCAACGUCUCAAACUCAAUGAGUUGGACAACUUGGUUUGCAAAUCUGGUGAACAAUUCAUCCAUGUUAUCUUGCCCAAACUCAACUGACAAAACAGGUUCAAAAACAGCUCUAAUGGACUUAACUAUGAACUCUCCUUUCAUUUUGCUAUCAAGGUUAGAAUCACCAACAUCCUCAUGAAGAUUUGCGUUCCAACCUAUGUUGAAAGUCCUCAAAGUUUGAAGGGUAAAAGAUCCUUCUGCUUCAAUCACUUGUCUAACUUCUUCAGCAGUGGGACAAUAUAUAGGUAGAUCAAAGUAGUCUAACUUUUUCUCAUCAAGUAGACCCUACAAUCAUAAAGAGCAAAUAAAACAACCUUAUUUCGUACAAAUAAUACAACUACUAUUUUGAUGUGUUGGUGCAGUGUUGGCCAAUCAUCUAUAAACCUUAUCGCUUACCUCUUGGACCAUGUCAUUGAGUACCAUUCCGAUUACCUCUGUAGGAUGACCAAUUUUAUAUGUUUCAUCUCUACCCAUGAACGUGAGUAACAUGCUACCACCCGACCUUAGUUCCUCCGAGCGUGAUUUAAGAAAAAGUUUGAAAUCCUUUUCAAAUUGCUUCAAGUAUGCUUCAUAGACUGAAGGAGGGUUGGCACUUGUUAUAUAAACGUUUCCCUUGUUGAGUGGUUCAGCUAUGUUGGUCGAAGUUGGUGCCUGAUACCAUACAAAUUGAGACCAAAGAGUUAACUUGGGAAUUGUAAAGCCAAAUAUAAAAUGUAGCAAUCUAUGACUUUAAAUGCUUGAGCCAGCACUUUUCUUUGCAAGUAAUUUGUAUCCAUAACAUAAUGGUAGGAAAAGCUUGGUUAAUUUGGUGGAAUUGACCUGAGAUAGCCAAUGCAGACUGUAGGAGGAAUGAAAGAAGUGGAUGUAAUCAUCAGGAAAAAGCCUUCCAUAGAAGUUUCCGGGUGUUGCAUGAAUAAAGCAUCUUCCAUGAUUCUGGUUUUUCUCUUUGUGUAUUCUUUCUAAGAAGUCAGGGAUCAACUUGAAGAAGCUGUUGAAGUCAUUUCCAAAUAGAUCAUUCAUGUAAAUUUGCAAUACACGAGGCCUACUUUGGUUUAAGCUCAAGCUAGCCUUAUCCAUUAGGCUUACCAUAGUUGACACAAAUAAGAGUGAAUUUGGCCCCGAAGAGCAUCCCAAAUCAGCAACUUUCCAACAGCUUUCUGAAGUUAUGUUUGACAUCAACAGUUUUACAUUAUCUUCAAGUAUAGGUUUCACUAUGCUUCCCACUUUUCUCUACACCAAAUUUAAUUUGGGUCACCAUCUAAUAGUUUAUAUAUAUCAUUGUCAUAAACUCUUUUCUUUUUAGCAUAUUUGCAAGUAAAAAAAAAAAAAACUCUAUGUAUUUUAUAUGCGUUUUGUUUUCUAAAGCGGAAAAGAGAUGAUACCUGAAGUAAGGAGUUUCUGGUAUAGCUGGUUUCUCCCUCACCACCCUUCAUGUGAAGUACUCUCUCAGUUGCCAUUAUGUAAUGAAUGGUAACUCAACAAUACCAAUGCCAAACAAUUAUGUAAGGCUACGGGAAGUGUCAACAUUUAUAUACACACUUUAUUGUUAGAAUGAGUGUGGUCCCAUUUUCUUAUUCUACUAUACUUAUCCUAGGAAACAAACACAAAAACUAUAAAGAAGAUGACCAAACAAGACCACAAAAGUUGUAGACUUUUUUCUCUUUGGAUUUUUCUUUUCUUUUUUUACAUUUUGUAAGAGUCCUAAAGUCUUCUUGACUUAAAGAAGUUCUUUCUUCAACUCCUUAGCUUUGCUGCUUAUAAAGCUCCUUUGAAAGCCUCUUCGAUGACCUGUAUUCUUUUCCUUUCCUUUAACUUUCCUUGUUUCUUGUGAUGACUCCAUCUUGUGUUAGUAUAUUUUGAACCAUGAUCUCCUCAUUAUACAAUUAUACUAUAAUCUGCAACAGCUUAAUGAUUAUAGACCAAUUUCGUUGGUUGAGUGUGUAUAAAACGGUUUCGAAGAUUUUGACUAUUAGGUUGAAAAAAGUCAUCAGUAAAGUUAUCGACGUUAGGCAAUCUGUCUUUCUUGAAGGAAUGGGGUUAUUGGAUAGUAUUUUGGUAGCCAAUGAAGCCUUAGAAGAGUUGAAGAGGAAGAAGAAAAGUUGUGUGUUUUUCAAGGUGGAUUAUGAGAAGGCUUACAACUCUGUGAGGUGGGAUUUUAUAUAUUAUAUGCUAGGAAGGCUUGGCUUUUGCGAAAAGUGGAUUUCUUGGAUUAAAGCUUGUUUGGAAUCAGCAUCGAUGUCAAUUCUCGUAAACAGGAGUCCUACUAAGGAAUUUUUUCCGAAGAAAGGGUUGAGACAAGGUGAUCUGUUAGCUCCAUUCUUGUUUCUUAUAGCGACUGAAGGGUUAGCCGAGGUAUCUAGGACCGUGGUUGAGAAAAACUUGAUUGAGAGCUUGGAGAUUGGGAAUAAAUCGGUAAAAGUAAAUAUGCUCUAGGAUGCUGAUGACAUUUUGUUCUUUUGUAAGGCAAAGAGCAAAAGUGUAUUUAAUAUAAAGGUUAUGUUGAACUGUUUUGAGUUGGCAUCUGGUCUUAAGGUGAAUUUCUCCAAGAGUAGAAUUGGUGGGAUUGGGGUGGAGCAGACGAAGAUUCUCCACUUUGCAACUAUUUUAAAUUGUGAGGUGAUGAGAAUUCCUUUUAAAUAUUUGGGGAUGCCUGUAGGGGGGUGUCAUAAGAGGAGUGAGUUCUGGGAUGAAGUGGUUAAUAGGGUAAAGAAAGGGCUAGGUAGGUGGAAAGGAAGAUUUAUCUCGAUGGCAGGGAGGAUAUGCUUAAUUAAGUUUGUCUUGUUGUCAAUACCUUUGUUCUAUCUUUCUCUGUUCAAGAUACCGUCUAUUGUUUUAAAGAAGAUUGUGAGUCUGCAGAGGGAUUUUUUGUGGGGUUGGGGGUCAGAUGGAAGGAAGGUUGCAUGGGUGGCAUGGGGUAAGAUUUGUAAAUCCAAGGAUGCAGGAGGGCUCGACAUUAUUAAUAUCAGGCAAUUUAAUUUGGCGUUGUUGGAAAAAUGGGUUUGGCGCCUAAACACGGAAACGGGGGGUUGUGGAGGGAGGUAUUGGAUUCUAAGUGUGGAGGAUGGAGAGGUUUGAAGGAGCAACGAGAUAUUAAUAGUAAGGUCUCUCUGUGGUGGAGAGAUUUAAGGAAGGUCUGGAGGUCUGAAUAAAUGAGGAGGGAAGUUUGAAGAUCGUUUGUCUUUGGAGGUCGGUAACGGGAGAGAGGUUAUGUUUUGGUCAGACAAUUGGAUAGACUCAGAAGACUUGAAAAGCAUAUUUCCAAGGUUAUUUUCUUUGUCUGUUAAUAAGGAGGCAAAAUUAUGUGAUUGCGGAAUAUGGGGGAACAGGUCCUGGGAGUGGAAAUUAAGGUGGAGAAGGGGUUUGUUUGCUUGGGAAGAGGAGCAAGAAAGUCAACUCUUAGAGUUGAUCUCUAAUAAGAUGCUCGAGAUGGAAACAAUGGAUAGAUGGGUAUGGAAGGAUAGUGAGUCAACAGAGUUUUCAGUUAAGUCCGCUUAUGUUUUUUUAAGGGGAGAAGGAAGUGAGGAAGUCUCAAGAAGAUAUAAUUUUUUAUGGAAAAUUAAGGCGCUUCCCUCAGCUCAUGUCACAUCUUGGAGAGUGAUGAAAAACAAGGUUGCUUGUAAGGUUAAUCUGGAGAGAAGAGGAAUCGAGAUUGAGAGUAAUAUGUGUUGCUUGUGUAGGAGGUCUGAGGAGUCAACAAAUAAUUUGUUUUGCGAAUGCAGAGUUGCUUGGUUAAUUUAGAAUCAUUUUUAUGAAUGGUUAGGAGUAAGAUCAGUCGAUUUUAUGGAUCCUAGGUCUCAUUUUGAACAUUUCAAGAUUCUAGAUGCACCCACUUCAGUUAAUCUUAUUCUGGGCAAUGUGUGGAUUGCAUUGAUUAGUGAGAUAUGGAGGCAUAGGAACAACUGUUUAUUUAAAGGUGGAGUGGUUGAUCACAUUGAAGUGUUCUCUCUAGCACAGAUUAAGGUUUGGUCAUGGAUCUCUUCAAAGAUACCGUCAGCUAAUUUCUCAUUCUCUGAUUGGUGUCUUGAACCAUUGGUUUGUAUGCAUUCAAUUUAGUUUGUUAUAAGGAUUGAUCCUUGUUAUUCUUUGUUAUUUUGGUAGAGAUGGGUUAGAUUGUAGGAGGUCUUGUUGGCUUAUAUGAAGUUGGAAAGGUAAUCUGUGAACAUCAUUUUACUAUAUAAGGGUUAGAGCAUCCUAAAGUGGUCCCAUUUAAUUUCAUUACUAUUUGCUGAAGAAAAAAAACCAGCUAUACUAUAAGUGACUCACGUAAAACAUACCUAAAGUGACAAAAAAGAUACAUGAAUAGUGUUUCUCAUUACUAAAUUGGAAAGCCAAUUAGAUGAUUUCACCAGAUUUUUCAAGUCUUAUACACACUAAGAGAUCAAACUAAGUUUUCACGUUCCUAUCCAUAGUAAGUUUAACCUUCUUUACAGCACUUCUGCAUUAAUCACUUUUUGAAAUUUGACAAAAUCAAACCUUUUUUUUUUUUUUACUUUUAAUCUCUUUGAAAUAAAAAUAUCCUUGAUUCUUCUCCUCCUCUGAAAAAUUAUCACAUACCUCUUUCGUCAUGGUCAUUUGAAAAAUUGGAAAAGAAGAAGCUAACCUUCAUUGCCUCAGUCUUAAGCAAAACAGUAAAAAGAAAGAAAAACACUAAAGACUAAAGGAAUAUCAAGACUAUAUAAAAAAGUUAAGAGGGAUUUAACUUAAGUGCAUAACUUUAAACAUACCUAAUCCUUUAAAAUAAUUUUAAAUUUACAAUUUGAAUACACAUAAUAUUUUUAAUUAUCUAUAUAUAACAGACGAAUACAUUAAAAAGUUAUAACAAUAUAAAAAAUAUAUAAAUUAGAAUUUCAAUAUCUGUUAAGAUACAAAAUAUUUUACUUGUACUUGCACAGCAGAGUGUUUUUCUUUGUUCUUCGUUUGGGAUAUAGUGUUAUAUUUGUUUACAAUAGUUAAAGUAAUAUAAAAAAAUUAUAAAUUAUCUUCGUUUCAGCAAUGUAAGUCAGGAUAACACAGAACAAUUUAGAAUUUCUCAAACUCGUGUUCAUGACAAACCUUUUCUGCUGGAAAGAAAAAGAAAAGAUCUUUUAGUAAAAGAAAAGAAAAGUACUACUUAUCUUUACUAAAACAAUUGAAAAACUAUGGAUAUAAGUUUAUUAUUCGGUGUUAGAUUGUAUUUUUGAAGGUAAAUCUUUUAACAAAAAAAUUUCGUUUCUCUGUACAAGGUAAAAUUAUUUUAUAAAUAAAUUAAAAAUUAUAUUUUACAAAAUUAAUAAAAAUAUAUAAACUAUUUUAAUUAAUAAACUAAUUGUUUUAAAAAAAAAACUUUUACACAUUUGCACAUGAUAUCAAUAUGAAACACACUAACAAUGGCCACCGACAAAACUUUUUGUGUUAUGGGACCUAUAUCUUUCAUUUUCUUUUGGUUUUUAGUAGUCACUUGUCUUUUAUGAUUGAACUUUCAAAGAUAUGGGAUAUUAUUUUAGUAUGGGCAAGUUUAACACUUUUUUUUUCUCACAAUAGCAAAACUUAGUUCAUAUUUAUUAGAGGCCCAUUAUAAUUUUAAAAAAGUUAUACACAACUAACUCGAAAUUUUAGAAGAGGCUUGAAUCUAUGUUUUUUCUAUAAUUGUGUUUAAUUUUAUUAAUUUUAGGUUUUAUCUAUCCAACUAUAAAUUUUCCCACGCUUUUGUUUUUAAAUUAAACAAUUUUCAUUGACUCUCAACAAUUUUAAAUCCCAUUCAAUAUUAUUUUCAAGGUUAAUUAAAGUUUUAUAAGCUGAAGACGCGUUAACCACAAUGGUAAUUGUCUUAGCCACGGUGCUAUCAGAGAAGGUCGUUCUCAACUCGAUGUACCCUCGUACCUCUACCUGAUCUCUCGCGAAGCGUUAAAAUUUGUUGCAUUACAACUUUAAUGUUAAAAAAAAAAAAAUUGUUACAUACGAAUUCGUAUGUAACUCUGUUUUACAUACAAAUAUUUAGUCUUACAUAUGGAUUUUGGCUGCAUGUAAUUGCAGAUUUUCUUGUAGUGAUAACGUUCAACAACUAAAGCAAUUUCGUUAAGUUUUUAUUAGUGCAUCCAUUUAUUGCCUUAUAAUUCAUCAAUCUUAAUAUCGUCGACAACUGUGUGAAGUUAGUUGAUCCAGGAUACAAUGGAGUCUCUGAAUCGCUUGACAUACUUCCAUAUCCAUGAGCUUCUACAAAAGACUUAGUUUCCACAUCACGAAUCAUGUCCUCCUAUCGAUCAUCACGUACAUUAUCAUGUAUUGCAUCAUCCAUGGUGGACCCCACAUAUUCUUCAGUUACAAAAACAUGUGGUAAAUUUAAUAAUUCACCAUGCCAUGUCCAAGUUGUAUAAGAUCGAAGAAACCUAUCUCAUAGAAGGUAUUCCUUGAUUAACUUAACAUCUAGUAUCUGUCCAUUCAAAUAGUUAAUACAUUGACACUUGAUCUUUGCUCCAUCAUGACCAUUAUUAUUCACGUUACGUUGCGCAAAAAGUAUAAAUUCUUUUACUCCUCUUUUGUACUCAUCACUUAUGCGAACAAAAUUAAUCCAAUUUCGGUCCAUUAUACCCUGUAAUAGUCAUUUAGGUGUUUUCUAAUGAGUGUUUUAUCUCACACGUUUGCUGAGGGUCGAACACCAUCGGACUCAAUACCAACACAAUAAUUCUAUUCUAAACUAACAACUAACAUAAUAUAAAUUAAUAAUAAAUACAAAAUAAUAUAAAUUUUAAAAAUAAACAAAUUCAUAACAUUAAAAAAAUUCAAAAAUAAUUUAAAACACCACCAACCUUGUGCGUGAAGGCAAUGUUGGUGAAGAGUGGCAGGGGACCGACGACAGCAGAUGCGACAACGGACAUGGCAGCAGCGACGGAGCAAAGCAAAAACCCACACAAAUAGCUACAAAGGCAAUGAAACAGUACUUCGAGCAAUGCAAGAAAACAAACAAAGUAAGAGAAAUGAUUUUUUUUAAAUCAUUGGAGAAGAAGAAAGAGAGUUCCAACGAACUUACAAUGGCACGAAAACACAAUGAAGCUCGCAAAAGAAAAGCGAAACACCAGAGUAGAAACAGAGAGCAAAUACGAAGCGCAAAGAAGAGAAAGAAAGUAUGGAAGCAUAAGUGGUGCGCUUCAGAGUUAGGGUAAAAAAUAAUUUAAGAAUGCAGCUAAUUGUAAUAGUUGCAUUCUUAAAUCACGCGCUUUGAUAAAAGAAUGCAGCUAUAGGUAAAGCCGCAUUCAUAAAUCAAGCGCUUUGAUUUAAGAAUGCGACUGUUAGGAAUAACCGAAUUCUUAAAUCAAAGCGUAUGAUUUAAGAAUGUUGUUAUUACAAAUAGUUGUAUUCGUAAAUGAAGUUAAUUUAAAAAAUGCCACCGUGAUUUGAAUGACGACGUCUAACCGUAAAAAUACAUUAAGUAAAUAGUCGUUAUUUUUACAUUUUUCACUAGUGACAUUAUAACUCAAUAGUGCUCAACACUCAAUUUAUGCUUGCUAAAGUAAGAAAUUUAUGUAAUUCAGUUCCUAUUGUUUGUUGCUUGACAUGUUUUGUCAAUAAAAUUUCUUUUUUCUCUUAUUUAUUGCUACUUAUGGUAAUUCUUUUUUCAAAAACAUUUUGUGAUAGUUAUUGAAUUAAAAUCGUUAAUCAGUUGUUUAUUUUAAAUUUGUUGAUUAAAUAAUAUAAUGAGUUUUAAAGUACAAAUGGAACAUACACACAUGACUAUAUUGGUAAUUACAUGUACAACGAUAUUUAUUUUUUUUGGAAUAGUUUAAAUCUUACAUGUUGACUUAUUAAAAUAUGUUGACUUUCCUAAUAUGUGCAUUACAAGAAAUAUUGAUAUUAGCCUCCCAAAAAAUCCACACAAAGAUUAAAAAAGAGACACUAAAUGAUAAUUAGAAUGAGUUUAGUGUCUCUUUUAAUCUUUGUGAGUUUUUGGGAGGCUAACAACAAUAAUUUUUGUAAUGGUGGUCAACACUUUAAAUUUGAUAGUUACAUUAAAUAAGUAUAUUUUUAAUUAUGUUUUGAAUUAUUAUUGUUAUAUCUCAUUUGUACUUUUAUUUUUUUCUUUUUUAUAUAUAUUAUUAUUUAUUAUUUAUUGUUACAUCUAAUUUUUAAUUUGUUUCUUUAUUUAUUAUAGAUAUACUUAAAAAAAUAAUGUUGCAUAGUAAUCUAUUUUAUUUUUUAAUAUUAUAAUUUUUUCUUAUUAUAAUAUUUUAUUAUUAUAAUUCAUUGUUUUAUAGAAUACCCGCGUGCUAGUAAAAAUAUACUUACAAUAAACUAUUUAAAAUUAAAAUAUUUAUUACAGCAUUAUAAAUUAAAAAUAAAUAAAUCUUUAGAAAAAGUAAAAAUAUUUAAAUAUACCCAUGUGUCGGUCCAGCCAACGUAUCAAUUAAAUAUAUAUUUUCUAAACAUUAUUGUUAGUCAAGCUGACGCACGACUCAAAUUAUGCGUCAAUCUAGCUGAUGCAAUAUUAUUAUUAUUAUUAUUUUCAUUUUCUCUUUGCACGACAUGCGUCGAAAGGUCCACGAGAAAACGAUUUUGCGCUCGUAUUGCGUGGGUUUGGCCGACACAAAUGACAUCCACGCUCGACUUAAAUAAUGACACAUUUUCUUGUAGUGAUAGGAUGUUUCCUUACUUAUAAAUAUUUUUUUAUCAGCAAAUAAUUAAAUAAAAUUAAAAGGGACACUUCAAGGGUGUUCCAACCCUUAUACAACCCGAAAAAACACACUCUCAGAAUGCUACCUAUCGUAGCAUCAAGAGCGGCAACCCACAAACCCCCCAUCCCACUAGAGUUCCACCUCAGGUACGUAACCAAAAGGCCACCAACAUCAGAACUGGUUUGCAGAACAGCUAGUGGUCCAGCCAUCCAACUAGCACAGGUUACCAAAACUGCACCUAAACCAUCCUUGUUGAAUUUUCCAGCGGCCAAGCUAAAAACCAGCUUUGACAGCAUCAGCAUAACAGCACUCCAAAGGCACCAACCAACACUCCAAUCUGCCCUCCAACCAGCACACCGUCCAAGGGCAGCCCAACCAAUGCACAUGACCAUCUUCAACCCAGAAUCUUGCACAACCAACUCUCCAACCAACAUAUUCCUCCAGAGAAGACCUUCCUUAAAGCUUGAACCAACGACCAUUUAACACCCCGUACAUAUCCCUUGAAAGCAUAUAAAGCCGAACAAAAAACUACACAACCACUCUGGUACUAGCUCCUUGCCAAGCUUAGGGACCUACACCUCCACCAAACUAGCAGCUUCACAUACCCAAUGCAGACCUAAACCAUACCAGGGGAUAAAACUUACUACUCCUGAUUGUCUAAAGCUAGCUCCUGCAAUACAUUCCAGAGGACCAAAGCUUAUGUUGAUUGAUAUGCCCAUUCAAGAUCUACCUCAGUACCAUCGCCAGCUUCUAUGAUACUUUGCUUAACAUGCUUACACACUGCUCCAACAAAAUUUCACCCAUGACUAUCAGAGGAACAAAACAACCAACUACAUGAUUCCAUUACCUCCCCAUGUCUUAAACCAGCAGAGCUUAUUCCUUGACAGAUUGUGAGGAAGCUAAAUGGGCUUGCUUGCCAGACCCAACACACUACUGGACAUCUACGGCUAGAUCUCAGCUCCUAUAGCCAGCAACACCAAAGGAUCUCCAGUAGUGUGUUAGGUUGUCAUGAAUUGCAGUAAGACAACCAAGGCUGAGAGGAAGGAAGGAUAAAAGCAAAUAUAGAACUAUGGAGCAACGCAGAGGCCGUUUGAGUUGUCAUGAAGAUGAAGGGGUCACAACGUUUUUCUUCUCGAACUUCCCAAACGGAGUGGGAGAGGUAGACAUGUUCAAGGUGUUUCAAAAGUGGGCUCGUGUGAAAGACGUUUUCAUCUCUCGAAAAUUAAAUAAAUGGGGAAGGAGAUUCGGUUUUGUGCGGUUCUUUGGAAUGAGAGAUGUGGGACAUCUGGAAAGAGAGCUAGAUCAGUUAUAUGUAGGGAAUAAGAAGCUAUUUGUGAACAUCCCAAAGUACCGAAGGAAUAUGGAGGAACAAAGCAGGACAGAAGGGAGGCUUCGGAGGGCUCCCUAUAGGGCGCGGCAGAAUGAAGAUAGUCAUGCCCACAAGAAAGUCACGGUGACAGGGGGAGAACAGAGAAGGGAGGACAUAUGGGUGGAGAAGAAAGGAAAUAGGUCUUAUGCAGAAGUUGCUACCGGUACAACUACGAAUCAGUGGAAGGGAGUAAGUUUCAAAAAACAACAACGUGUGUUACCGUGGAUGGAUAGGAGUGCGGUGGGGAAACUUAGGGUGGUAAGAACGUUGAACAGUUGGUGGAGGAGUUGGUGACAGGGGGCAUAAACAUGUUACGUGUAAGAGCUUUGGGGGACAACCUUGUAUUGCUUACACCAAGAGAAGGGGAGAAAAUGGAGAAUUUUAUAAAGGUAAAUAGUGAGUGGGUUGAUUGUGUGUUUGAAAGCAUUAAGCCUUGGUCGCUCUCCAGUGGUCCAAGUCAUAAAUCAAUUUGGGUGAGGUGCUACGGAUUGUCGCUUCCUCUGUGGAAUGAAGAGUGCUUUACCAAAUUGAUAGGAGCUCUAGCCCCGUCGGCUAUGCUGGUAGGUAUUGACAGCUCUACAGAGUCAUGGGAGAAUUUGGAAUUUGCGAGAUUACAAGUUCGAAUCCUGAAGUGUGAGAGUGCUAGAAUGGAAGAAUGUGUGCGAAUCAACAAUCAGCUAUGCAAUAUUCUCAUUGAAGAGGAGAGCCCAUGCUGGUAUGGAGGCAGGGGCAAGAACGUCAUAUCAUCCUCUACAUUGUCGGAGAGUGUAUCUUCCUCAUAAACUUACAUAGAAGAAACAGUUUUCACGAGGAUGAACGGUGAGGACGAUAAUAGAUUAUGGAGGGAGGAGGAACACUAUUCAAAACGAGAAGGGGAAGGAAAAAAGACGGUGGAAGAAGAUGAUGAACAGUACCCGAAUGAGACAAAACUGUUAUAUGUGGGCUCCUCUUCAAAAACAAAAGGUUGUUAGUGGAAAGGUGAAAAAACCUUAAUAGAAGGAGAAAGAUAUGGGCAUAAAGGAUUUGUUAAUGUUGACUUGAUAUCUUUCUCUGAUGAUGACUGUGGGGUAGUUGGGUGCGGCAAACCAAUACAAGCUGAGUUGGCAAAAUUGGUGAUAGAGCUGGAGUGUGGAAAUAACUUACCAGUUACAUGUGGGACAACGGGCCUUGAAAGAAAGAAAGAUGCCCAUUUCGUAGGGGGCUGGUCCGUGCACUUAGCCCAGUCAGAAGAGGAAGUUGAUGGUGCUGGAAAGAAGAUAGAUGAAGAGGAGUGUGGCUUAAAGGAUGAAACAGGAAAUAGCUUGUUGGAGCGCGUAAGCCCGUUAGGGGACCCAGGGGUGAGUCCCAGUGGAGUAAAAUGACGGGUUCUCCUACACGAACCAAAAGCAGCGGGUCUUGUGUUGGAAAGUGGUUCAUCAUCUAAGAAAGAGGUAAGCAUGGGGGAACAAUGUGCGUCUGGAAGAGCAAUGAUGGGAGCACUAUCAGAGCCCCCUUCUGAAGAUGGGGGAGUAGUAGAGAAAUGCAAGUCAAACUCACCGCAACGUCUGAGAAAGAAGAAAGGCCUUGGCAUUGUGGGGGAAUCACGAUCACACCCGAGGCGGUCGGCAAGGAUUAGUGAAAGACACUCCCAGGCGAGCAUAGUGGAAUCACCGUAGCUGUGGGCAAUUGGAAAGAAAAUUGGUUUGUUGUGCUGAGAAGAUGAACAGGAGGUUAUUAAAGAAUACAAUGGUAUGGAAGUAAGAGACUCGGAGAUGGCGUUUGGCCAUAAAGAAGGGAAUGAUAAUAGUGUUUUAUGAUUAUUGUGACCUUCAAUAUAAGAGGAUUGGGGGGAGGUAAUAAAACUAGGUACCUGAGACAUAUUAUAGCGAAUGAGGGUGCUGAUUUUGUGUGUUUGCAAGAAACAAAAGUGAAGACUUUAUCUGAUGCUAAAUGUUACUCUUUGUGUGGGAGCAAUAAAGUGGGUUGGAUACACUAUGAAGGGGAGAAUGGAAGUGGAGGAAUGUUGUCAAUGUGGCAUCAAGAAGCUUUCACAUAUGAAAAUCACCUUAUGGGAAAGGGGUACAUUGCGGUCUACGGCAGUCAUGUUAAAGAUAAUCUGAGAUGUGUUGUGGUUAAUAUCUACGUUGCCUGUAACUUGAGAGAUAAUAAGACCCUGUGGAUGGAGUUAUCCAAUAUCAAAUUUAUCUCACAAGAGGCGUAUUGGUGUUUAUGUGGCAAUUUUAAUGCUAUCAGAAGUCGAGCUGAAAGGAAAGGAAGCACGAAUAGAGUGAAUUACGCAAGUGAGAUUAGAGGUUUUAAUAGCUUUAUUGAUGAUAAUUUGUUGUUGGACACUCCUAUUGUGGGCAAAAAAUAUACUUGGUUUAACUCAAAUGGGUCGGCAAAGAGUAGAAUAGAUAGAGUGUUGGUUACAGAGGAAUGGAUAGAAAAGUGGCCUAUGUGCAAACAGUAUUGUAUCGCCCUGGUAGUCGGAAGUGAUGACGUGGCAUCGAGCUGUUAUAUAGGCGUGUUGGAUGGGGCACCUGGUUGGCAGAAGGGAAGGAAGUCGGGGGGUUGGUGUAGUCGCCAGUUGUUAAGUUGGCAUGUUCCGAUCUCCAGCAUGCCUAAACCGGCGGUCACCGGGUUGAAGAUGAAGUCGCCAGAUGUGAACCCAGGCGACCAAGUGAUUAGAGAUCGCCGAAACGAGGACAUCGCCGAAGAUGAAGGCAGAUAGUCAUUUCCCAGCUGGCCAGAGGCUGAGGUCGGGAGACAGCUUACUUGAGCAUAUACGGUGAAACAGGUAGGGUAGAUCAUGAAGGCGGCCGGCGAGACCACAGGGAAGGUGUGUACGAAGGCACCCGAACUCGCCACCCAGUAGAGAUCACGCUCCAAGGCAGCUAUGCACUGAGUUGUAUCAUGCAUAAGUAACUUAGCCAACAAACCUGAAGAGUAAGAAAUAGCGCCCAAGUCAAGGAUGCUCCAGAUGAUGGCACGUGUACAGCUGGAUGUGAGCCACGUGUCCAGAUGUGUAACUACCAGGAGAGAGAAAGUGCCCAGGUAUAUAAGAGUUUCCAACGAACUUCUGAGGUACGGAUUUUCAGAUUGUUUCUUUACGCUUGCAAGUUUUGAGUACGCUGAGGAGAACUUGUCACGGUUCCUUAGAGUUCUUGAGUUUUACUCUUAAGUAAUUGGUGGUUCAGUCGCUGACUUGGGUGUCGGAGCGUGAUCGGCCGCAGCGGCGCCGUUUCGUCUUUUGCAGGUUCUUGAGGUGGAUCACGGUGAAGGACGGAGGCUAACACGGCGCAGAAGUCGAUCCAAGUUUGACGAGGCAAAGCUCCAGCGUUUUGGUCAACAGGCAGGAUCAAGUAUGUACAACGAAGGGAAGUCUCCGAUUACUGUGCCAUAGUGGUGAAGUCAACGGAAAAAGAUUGGGGACCUAAACCUUUCCGAACUAUUGAUGCGUGGUUGUCAAAAAAAGGUUUUGGUGAGAUGGUGAAGACUAAGUGGAACUCCUAUUCAAGCUGGGGGAGAGGGUUUGUGAAGAUAAAAGAGAAGCUAAAGUGUUUGAAAGGGGAUCUAAAACUAUGGAAUAAGGAUGUGUUUGGGAACAUUAACACAAGUAAAAAGAGAAUUUUGCAAGAUAUUGAAGACAUUGAUUGUCAAGAUUGCAAUGGGAAUAUCACGGAAAAUGCCAGGCUUAAAAGGUGUGAGCUGUUAAGCCGUCUCAAGGAAAUUGAUAAAAAGCUUGACUCGCUUACGUGCCAGAAAGCGAGAGUAAGCUGGCUCAAGAAUGGGGACUCCUGCACGAAGUUCUAUCAUUCGACCCUUAGAUGGAGAAGACUAAGAAAUGAAGUUAAUGGUGUGGAGAUUGGAGAUCAGUGGUGUGAGGAACCUAGUACGGUGCGAAGAGAGGCGAAGAUGCUUUUUUAGAAGAGAUUUACAACGACGAAGGAUCUGGGCGUAAGACUGGAUGCAGUUGAUUUUAAAACUCUCACUGGUGAGGAUAAUCUGGGUCUUAUAGCUGAGUUUACUGAGAAGGAAAUUAGAGAUGAUGUGUGGCAGUGUGAAGGUGCAAAGAGUCUAGGCCCGGAUGGUUUCAAUUUUAACUUUCUGAAGAAGUGUUGGGAAGUCAUAAAAGUGGAGGUUGUGGAAGCCAUAAAAGUGAAGGUUGUGGAAGCGGUGAAGCAGUUUCACGAAAAUGGGAUUAUCCCAAAAGGCUGUAAUGCCUCUUUUGUUGCUUUGGUACCCAAGGUCAGGGACCCUUCCAGGCUCGAGCAAUACAAACCUAUUUCGUUAGUAGGUGCUAUAUACAAAAUUAUAGCAAAGCUGUUGGCGGAAAGGAUAAAGAAAGUCCUACCCUCUGUUGUGGAUGAAAGCCAAUCAGCGUUCCUGAAGGAUAGAUGAAUCCUUGAUAGUGUACUAAUGACUAAUGAGGUGGUAGAAGACAUAAGGAGAAGAGGGAGAAGUGGGUUGUGUCUAAAGGUAGAUUUCGAAAAAGCAUACAACUCAGUCAAAUGGGAGUUCCUCUAUGACAUUCUUCAGGAUGGGGUUCCAUCACAAAUGGAUCAUGUGGAUUUGAGGGUGCUUGGAAACUGCUACUAUAUCAAUUUUAGUUAAUGGGAGCCCUACGGAGGAAUUUAAACCCUCUAGAGGGCUGAGGCAGGGUGAUCCCUUAACAUCUUUCCUCUGUCUUGUAGUAGCUGAAGGCUUGGUUGGGUUGGUAAGGCAAGCUGUGAAGACAAACAUGCUUUUUAGCCUUAAGAUCGAAAGAAAGGAGGUCGAUAUGAGCCUCCUUCAGUAUGCAGAUGAUACCUUGUUCCUUUGUGAAAACUCUUUUACAAAUGUGGUGACUUUGAAGGCUAUUUUAAGGGGUUUUGAGGUAGCCUCAGGUCUUAAGAUUAAUUUCCAUAAAUCAAAGCUAAUAGGUUUUAAUGUACUUAGUAGUGAUAUUGACUGCUACACAAGGACUCUGAAUUGCUCUCAGAUGGGAAACAAGUUCAACUACUUGGGCCCAGAGGUAGGGGGAAAUCCAAGGAGGAAAAAGUUCUGGGAGCCUGUGCUAUGCAAGCUUAAAUCACGGCUUAAUGUGUGGAAAGAGAGAUUCCUAUCAAUGGCUGGUAAAAUAUGUCUUAUCAAGUCCGUUAUCACGGCCAUACCGCUGUAUUAUUUCUCUCUUUUCAAAGCUCCAAAGUCGGUAUGUAAAAGUAUUAUCAGCAUUUAGAGAAGGUUUCUCUGGGAUGGGGAAAGGAGAAAAGACCGGUGGCUUGGGUUAGUUGGAAAAAUAUAUGUAAACCGAAGGAAGAAGUGAGACUAGGUAUCAGAGAUAUACGUAAGUUUAAUGCAGCGCUCUUGGCUAAAUGGAGAUGGCGUUGUAUAUCAGAAGAGAAAAGGAGGUGGAAGGAAUGUCUGGACUCAAAGUAUGACCUGGAAUAUAAUGUUACUCGAAUUUCGUUGAAAUUACAGUCAUGGUGGUGGAGAGAUUUACGAAAGGUAUGUGGGGAGGAAGGAACAGAUGGGUGGUUUCAAGAGGAGGUCGGCUAGAGCAUAAGGAGUGGAGAUAAAACAAGAUUUUGGGAGGAUGUGUGGGUUGGUAAUGCAAAUCUCAAGUCCCUAUUCCCUAGAUUGUACUUAAUAUUGAUGAACCAGGGUCAAAAGGUGGAAGAGGUAGGGGGUGGGAAGACUUGGGGUGGUGUUGGAAACUAAGGUGGAGGUGAGUAAGAUUUGAAUGGGAGAUUCCUUUAGAAAACGCACUUGGUAUACUUAUAUCUAGUGCUUCUGUAAAAAGGGAUAGAAAGGAUGCCCGGGUGUGGACAAGCGAUGAAUCUGGAAGUUUUACGGUGAGAUCUGCAUAUGAAUGCCUAGUUAAAGCUGAUAGGGGCCCACAGGUUGAUGUCUUCAAGUACCUAUGGAAGACUAAAACGUUCCCUAAUGUGGUGAUCACAGCAUGGAGGAUGUUGUUGGGUAGAGUACCCAUUAGAGAGGGCUUGAGAAAAAAAGGGGUGAUGCUGGACUCUGUUUCAUCUAACCCAUGUUAAUAACAAACAAAACAUGAUCUAGAAAGGUUUUUGGGUAGCUGCGGUGAGGUGUAUUUAGGAACAAAGGAACUAUGUGGUUUUUAAUUAGGGGUAGCUGAUUCGGAAGAAAUCUUGCAUAAGGCACAACUGAAAACCUGGCUUUGGUUGAAACAUACGAUGAGUUCCUUUGUUUAUUCCUUUCUAGAGUGGUAUCUGAACCCCUCAUGUGUAUCAAAAGUUAUAAGUAAAUAGGGAGGGGUAAAGUGAAGGUUGCUACUCUUCUCUUAAGUUGAAGGUAGUGAGAAGAAAGAAGAGUGAGGAUUGGGAUUGGUGGCAGAUUAAGCACUCAACAAUACAGUGGUGACAGGUUAAAAAAAGAGGAAUCAUGGUCUGUCUGUUUUCUACUGAAAUGCAGCAAAAUCAUGUUCGAAUAAAGCUUGUGCAACAACUUUUGGUUAGGAUAAAGUUGCCGUGAUGCAGUUGGUAGUGAUGCAGAGCAGUGUUGUGGGGUGGAAAGGUUCAUUAGAAUUUAUGUUCUGCUUAAUCUCUUGUGUUGUACUGUUGUGGCACUUCUAAGCUGUUUAAGCCGCCAAUAUCAAUUAGAAUUGGCAAAGGACCUGUAGAUGGUGCUCUAUGGGGUGUUUGUGCUGCAUUAGGUUGGUGAAGGCAGUUUGAAGGUUAUGCUAUGAAGAAGGGGAGUCAUUAUAGAAGAAGUGGUUGAGGGCGUAGGGUGGGUCACAGUGUAGAAGCUUAUGCAGAUCCACUCAGUGCGGACUCGUUUUUUUAGUGGCUAGACGUGAUAGUCUAAGACAGCUGAGGAAGUAUUGGAGGAAGAAGCUACUGUCAAUGCAGAACAAGCUGUAUAGCUGAGUAGAGCCAUAAGAUGCGUGUACAGUGUAGAGGAAAAUCAAGAAUUUCGUUCUUGUGAAUCACUGGAAUUCUUUAGUUCAAUGCGUAUGCUGCCAAGGUUUUAGGCAGCACAAGCCUUGUUAGAGCCUUUGGAACAAAACCUUUUUUGGAUGCUUUUGGAAGCUAUAGCAUGAUGUAGUUGUUUUUGGAAGGUAUAUAUGCUACAUAAUAGUGCCUAGCCUGUUGCCUCUGUGGCUGUUUUAGAAAAAAGGGUAUUGCGGUUUUUAUAAGAAAGUGUGUUGUAAUUUUGAAGUAGAGGGUACCAUAGGUACAUGGUUUGGCUUAUGCGGUUCAUAUGGACAAAUCCUACAAUGUUAUGCAACUAUGUGAAGUUCUGUGUGCAUCAUUUCUAAGCUUCUUAUGCCAAUUUUUGCAACAUAGGCGAAGUCCUUGCCAACUCUGCCCAUGCUGUCAUGCUUGUAUUGUUGUGAUGUUGCUAUCAUGGCAUCAAUGUUUCUAUGCAGAUUGGAGAGUGUAGAUGAAAUCCACACACUUAAGGAUCAAGACUCAGGACCUUUCAGGUGGAGUAGAGAAGAACUUCAUGGAAUUGGAGCUAGAAGGAUUGGAGUAAUUGGUGUGUCAGCUCUAGGGUGUGUGCCCUUGUAGAGAACACUUAAGGAGGCUUACGGUGAUAUUGUUCAAGUUCAGAUAACCAAGCAGCAUUUCUCUUCAACUCAAAACUUGCUGCAGCCACAAUCCUGGAUAAUUUUGCUGUAUAAUGUGGCAUAAGUGCUGCAAAUCAACUGCUUAAUUGCAGUACAACGGGGGAGCAUAGGCAAUAGUGUUUAAUUAUUCAACAUUUGUUGCACAAUGCUGGAAAGUGCAUAUUAUGUACACCUAGUAGUGUAUUGAGCAAUCCCCAACGCUAUUAUUAAGAGAUUAAAUAGAAUUAUUCUGCAGAAUUUUUAUGUGCUUAAUCUAUGUUUUCAGGCCAUUUGUGUAGUCUUUUAUGUGUUGGAGGAAGGGGUUGUAAGAAUGGAUUUUAGCUUAAGAACCUUAUGCCCUGAGUUGAUAAUUGGUUCUUGGUUCUUAAAUACCGGUUGCACACCACAAGUGUUUCCUUUUAAUUUAUUUAAUUUUUUUCUGAUUAAAAAGAAUAUAUAAAAUUUUAUAUAAUUUGAAUUAUAUUAACAUUUUAAUUUUAUACUUAUAAUCUAAAUAAAUAAAUAAAAAUUAAUACCAUUAAAAAGAGAUCAUAUAUGGUUGCCCACACCCAAAGAACUACCUCAAGGCAAAUACAUAAAAUAAAAAUUGUGUCUAAUUUUGUUAUGUAUAACUUUUGGCUCUUUCACCAAAAAGAAGAAUUUCAGCUUUCUUUACAACUUAACAAAUAUUUUGUAAGUGAUUUUUUUAUCAGCAAAGAAGCAUUUCUUAAGUGAUAAUCUCAAGUCAAUUUCUUUUUAAAUCAAUAUAUAAAUAUUUAGGUAGAAGUAGUCAUUUUAAUUUCUUUCUAAAUCAGUACAAAAUAUUUAGGUAGAAGCAGUCAUCUCUACCGUAGAAGAAGUAAUUCCUACUGUAGAACCAGUAUACAAUUCUAAGGAAGAUAAAUUCUCAUCAUACAUAUACCUUUGAACAUAGAAUGCAGGUUUUUGAGGUAAGGAUACUAUUGAACUCUUGCUUGUCAACAUUAAUAUAAUGUCACUCAUUGUGGGUCGAUCAUUUGCAUAAUGUUCAACACAUAAGAGACCAAUAUGAAUACACCUUUGCACUUCCUCGUGAUCAAAUACCUCAUUUAAUGAUGGAUCCAUUAAUUCAAAGUAUUUGUCAUCCUUCCAUAACUCCCAUACCUAUAUGUAUUUACUCAAGUUAGUUACAAUAAUAUAUAAUAUCAUGCCAAAAGAACAAACUUACCAAAGCUAAUUUUACAUACAUGUCCAACUAGAUUCAAAGGGUGAUCAUCAUCAUAAAAACUUGUGUUUUUUCUUCCACUAACUAUUUCAAGCAACAACACUCCAAAGCUAUACACAUCAGACUUUGUAGAAAAUAUUCCUUCCAUAGCAUAUUCUGGAGACAUAUAACCACUGCAAGAAAUUUCACACGAGAAAAUAAAUUUUAUUUAUACAUUGAUAUAAGAUAAAUGUAACUGAGUUUCGCAAGCUUACUAUGUCCCAACAACCCUGUUCGUAUUUGUCAUCGAGUCUUGUUGAGUAAACAUUCUAACCAUUCCAAAAUCUGAUAUUUUUGGAUUCAUAUUUUCAUCCAGAAGUAUGUUACUAGCUUUCAAGUCUCUAUGAAUGACUUUGAGUCUUGAGUACUUGUGAAGAUACAAUAAUCCUUGAGAAAUCCAUUUUAUUAUGUUGAAACGCUUAUUCCAAUGAAGUAAUUUGCUUCUUGUAGAAUCUUCUCCAUUUGUCAUAUAGUAGUGAUGUAUGUUAGAAUGUAUACUAUAAAAAUGUAAAAAAGAAAGUGACUUUUCUUCAUGAAAACUUGAGUAAUUAUAGUAAAUUUAAUUGAGAAAUAUCCUUGUUCACCUACAUAAGUGUUUGGAUAGCUGCAUGAUAAGGAAAACAAAAUUUAUCUGUUUAACAUCCUAAAUAAGACAUAAUUAGACAAUGAUAAACACAUUCUCACCGAAAAGAUGGAAAUCUAAGCUUUUGUUGGGCAUAUACUCGUAAAUUAGAAUCUUCUCUUCAUCAUGAAUGCAACAACCAAGUAGUUGAACAAGAUUCAUGUGCUGAAGUUCACAUAUAAGUGUUAGUUCAUUUUUAAACUCAACAAUUCCUUGUGCAGAACUUCUUGCAAGUCUUUUUAUAGCAACCUCCUCUCCUGUUGGCAAAGUUCCCUAAAGAAAUGAGAACAAAAAGGUCAUGAGUGCUUUGAAAUAAAGUUACCAAGACAUAACAUGAGUAGUUUCAAUCACCUUAUAAACUGGUCCAAAGCCUCCCUGUCCUAACUUAUUCUCUGAUGAAAACUCAUUUGUAGCUGCCACAACCAAUGUAUAAUCCAAUACUUUUAAACCGUAUUUCUUAUUCAAAUCAUUUCCUAAAAUUAGAGUCAUUUCUUUCCUUUUCUUCUCUGUUCAGAUGACAAUGAAAAAUAUUAAAAUACAGUGAUCAACAAAUCUUUUUAGCAAUGAGUUAGAAGAAUGUAAGUACCUUGAAGCACAUGUUUUCGUUUCUUUACUGCCAGGCAUAGAAUGGAUGCGCAUAGUAUGAGUAAAGUAGUUGCUAUUACUGUACUUAUCCAUAUCCACCUUUUUGUACCUGCAUACAACAACUCAAAAUCUUCAACUAUCAAUUAUUAAUUUUAUUGCUUUAUAUUUUUUUUCAACGCCAUUGUUAAGCGUUGCAGCCAAUGAGUUCUUUCCUUUUCAAUUCGGAGAUCAAAGACUUCUAAAAAAAGAAUUUUUUUUUGGUGCAGUUACCUAAAAUCCUCACUCUUGAUAAAGGGUCUAUUCAAUUUAGGGUAAAGGGUCAAGAAUUAGACAAAGAAGUUGUACAAAGAAAGAAAUGCUCAAGAAUUAUUCAUUUUUUUAUAAUAAAAUUAAAUUAAGAGGGAUAAAAAAAGGUAUCCCAACCCUUUUACACAAUCCAUACCACAUUAAGAGAUUACCAAAUAAAAGGAAGAAAGAAAAUAUAUGUUCUUUGCUGCGCUAAACACCUAGAUAAUAAAGGGUCUAUUCAAUUUAGGUAUGAUUGGAAUCUUUAGACUUUGCUGUACAUAUUUUAGGGUAUAAUUGAAACCAUUAGAAUUGAAACUUCUUUUUGGUGUAUAAAAAAUGAAAUGAAGUUGGCAUUAGACCUACCGUGAGGAUGAUCGAUUAUGUUCCCUUUGUUCUCAAGUAAGUAAAUGUCUUGACCCGAAACAGUGGCAUCAACUAUAUAAUCUUUUGAUGAAUUCCAUUGAAAGAAUCUACAUCCAGUCCCAUCUGUAUAGAGUUCUGCAAAUCCAUUGCAAUUACAAUCGCCCCAGCAAGCAGCCUCACAAUCACUGUGAUUAAUAUUCUCCUUUGUUUCAUAGGUUACAUUUUCAUCAUUAGAGUGAAUACUCUUUUUGGUAAACACAUCACCAGGAAUCCUGCACUUGGGUAUAUCCUGCCAUCUUUGGCACCCUCCUUCUGUGUUGUUGUAUCCAUAGCACAGAUCAGCCCUUGCAACAUAUCCCUGUUUGUCAUUGUAAUAUAACCUCCCAGUAUCCGAUAACGACCAGAUAUGUGUAAUGUUUUCAUUUGUAGAUGUGAAAGAGAAGGUGUCUUCAUCCAAAUUGGAGACUAUGCUGUACUUCAACACGGCUUGUGCAUCUUCUGGAAUGUGCUCAAAUCUAUUGUUCCUCAGUUUCCCACUUUUCCAACAAACUUUUCCUCGUCUCCUUAUCAUCAGUUCUUGUCCCCUCGGUUCCCAUUCAAGACUAAAGCCACCUGGAGUCGGACCGUCUUCAUUCUUCUGCGAAGAAAGUAACGAACGAUGGCCUGUUUUAUGAUUAACACCUAACUUCAUGGUGGGGAUCAAAGUCGCAAAGGGAUAAUCAAAACUCUGCCACAAGAGAGUGUUUGUCCCAUUGGAGUGAAGGUGUUGAAGCACAAAGUUGCCUGUGUCCAACAAAGUGGCCACAGUGUUGUUGAUAGGUUGAGGAGGAGAAUAGAGAAUAAUUGGUUUAUUCACAGAUGAAGAUUCUAUUUUCAGCACGCCAGAGAAGUUUAAGGAUAGAACUGCAUCGUUAUAGUCGACAGAUUGUUCUUUAUUACCCUCCCAAACUAUAGCAGCUUCAUAUUCACUUUGUAUUGUUAAGUAAGUGAGAAUUUCACCUCCACUUGUUACAGAAUUAAAAUACAGAAGAUAUUUGCGACUCUUAGAAUAUAGUUCUGAAGAGGUGUUGAAUGUGUCACCGGGCUUUAAACUGUCAUCUGCUGCAUCAACAUGAGUAGAAGAACUGAAGCAGAACCAGAGAUGCAUGAAAGCAAGCAGAAGUUUGUGAAGGAUAAGCCUCAUAGGAUGCUUCAAAUAUGGAAAGACUAAUCUGCAAGAAGAAGGUGAGACUGUGAUACUAUGUCGUAAGUUCAAAUAAUGUGUAUCUACUUUUUAAGUGCAAUUAUUUUCGUUGUAAAAAAUUAUCUGUCAAAGCAUCAGAAAUCAAACUUGAUAAAACCUAAAAUCUAAAGCGAGGUUGUCACAUUCAUUUCAUAAAAAUAACUAUACAAUAUUUUUUUCACAAGACUUAAUUCAUUGUGAACUGAUUUAUUUGUUUUACAAUUACUAUAUAUUUUUACUAUUAUUAUUAUUUAAAUAACAUUCUGUUAAGUAAUGCUUAUUUAAGCAAAGAAAUAAAAUGUCACUAAUCAUAAUACAUUAAAAUUAGAAAAAGAUUAUGAGUGAAUAAAAAUAAAUAUUUUUUUUUUAAUUACACACCAAAAAUAAUAUAAUUAUUUUAAUUUAAAUCUUUUAUUAUUAUUUUUUGUUUUCAGCGUUAAAGAAAAAACUAAAGGAAUAUCAAGACUAAAAGUAAUAAAAAGUUUAGAGGGAUUUAACUUAAGUGCAUAACUUUAAACAUACAUAAUAUUUGUAAUUAUCUAUACGUGUGUGCAUAUAUAUAGAUAUAUUAAAAUACAUAUCUAAAAAAUUAAAAUAUAACAGAGGAAUACAUUAAAAAUUAUGACAAAAUAAAAAGUAUAUAAAUUACAAUUUCAAUACCUGUUAAGAUACAAAAUAUUUUACUAGCACUUGCACGUGAUUUUUUUUUCUAAUUUAUUUAUUUUUUAUCUGAAUUAAUAGAAUAAAAGGAACUUUAAAGUGUCCAACAUCAACCAAAACCAAACCUAAUUAAAGCAAACAACAGAAAGUAAAAUAUAUUUGUUUAGUGUUAUAUUGUUUAUAAUAGUUAAAAUAAUAUAAAAAAAACUAUAAAUUAUCUUCAUUUCAUCGAUAUAAGUCAGAAUAACACAGAACAAUUUAGAAUUUCUGAAAUUCGUGUUCCUUUUCUGUUGGAAAGAAAAAGAAAAGAUGUUUUAGUAAAAGAAAAGAAAAGUACCACUUAUCUUUACUAAAAAAAAUCGAAAAAAGUAUGGAUAAGUUGAAUACUCGAAAUUAGAUUGUAUUUUUGAAGGUACAUGUUUUAUAAACACUUCUAAAAUUAAAAAGAAAAAUCCUUUCUUUAUACAAGGUAAAAUUACUUUAUAAAUAAAUUAAAAAUUAUAUAUACAAAAUUAAUAAAAAUAUUUUUUACAAAUAUAUAAAUAUUUUUUAAUUCAUAAACGAAUUAUUUUUAAAAAAAUUACUUUUAGAAUGUUCGCACAUGAUAUAUUAAUAUAAAGGGAAACACGUUAAGAAUGGCCGACAAAAGUUUGUGUUAUGGGACCUAUAUCUUUCGUUUCCUUUUGGUUUUGAGUAAUCUAUUGUCUUCCAUUAUUGAACUUUAAAAGAUAUGGGAUAUCAUUUUAGCAUGGACAAGUUUAACACUUUUUUUCACACAAUAGGAAAAUUAUGAGUUCAUAUUUAUUAGAGGUUCAUAAAAAAUUUAAAAGAAUUAGUAUAUAAAAGGAACUUAGAAGAGGCUUGAAUCUAUGUUUUUUUCUAAAUUGUGUUUAACUUUACUAAUUUUAGUUUUUAUCUAUCAAACAAUAAAUUUUCCCACGGUUUUGUUUUUAAUUUAAAGAUUUAAUUACCUUCGUCCCUACAUUUAGGGUCAAUAUUCAAUUUAGUACAGUAUUUUUUAAACAAAUCAAUUUGGUCCCUAUGUUUUUAAAAAUGUAUCCAAAAUUUUCCUUUCUGUUAAGUCGCACGAAACAACGUUAAGUGGUGCUUAUGUGGCAAAGAUAAGGGGUUAUGUGGACUGUCAAGUAGGUGACACUUUGUUUUGGGUGAUUAGGGUUUCGGGUAUGAGAUUGGAUAGGCAGAGAUUAAUAAAUUCUGGUUGUUAGGGUUUCCGUACGUAAAUGUUUUUGCUUGUUGCCUUGUUCACAUAAACGAGUAAGUUGACAUAUAGGAGGGUCGUCGUUUGGGGUGGAGUCUGGUGAUUGUGGAUUCGUUGGUUGGGGAGGAGUAAUCAGCGUUUGUGAUUCGUUCAUGGGUGUAGAUCUGUUUGUGGUGGAAAUGUGUGUGCCUAUAGGUCUGCAUCUGUAUCAUCAUGCAGUUGUAAUCGAGUAGGUUCCUCAAUCGCUGCCCCUUCACGAGCUCUGGAUCACACCUCAGAAUGGAUUUGGGAUCGCACCACGGGAACGCACUACACAAUCGAACGUCACAUCACACCACAAGAUCGCACCUCUAGAUCCUUGUUCACAAUCGCACCUCACACCAUACAAUGCGUAAUCCCCAAGUGAAAUUAUUGUAACCCUAACCCCCAAUUCAUUCCUGACUAAGCUAAUGUAACCAUCCACGUCGCUUGACACGUCUCUGCCAUAUAAGCACCACUUAACGUCGUUUCGUGCGACUUAACAAAAAGAAUCAUUUUGGAUGCAUUUUAAAAAAUAUGGAGACCAAAUUGAUUUUUUAAAAACCACUGUACUAAAUUGAAUAUUGGUCCUAAAUGUAGGGACGGAUAAGGUAAUUAAAUCUAAAUUAAACAAUUUUGAUUUGUUGUCAUCAUGUAUAAUCCCACUCAACAUUAUUUCCAAGGUUAAUUAGAGUAUAGUAUAUGUUUUUUACCAUUAAACAAAAAUAAAUAUGAAAACUUUGUAUUUUGUUAUACUAGAUCAUAUCAAGAUACAUUAUUUAAUGUAAAUUUUGGUUCAGCUAAAAUCUAAGUUUCAAGUUUUUGGAUCAUUCGGAUUUUCUUCAUCUAAUGGUUUAUGGUGGUCUUAUGAGUAUCAUCUCUUAUCGAUAUUAUUGUUUGAUGGAUAUCAUUGUUUGAUGGGCAUCAACGUCUGUAUUGAACUACUGCUUUUGGAUCGUCUACUUCUUUUAUUUAAGUUUCUCUGUAACUGUUAGUGCCUCAUGAUAUUUGAAACUCAAUUGUUGUACACGUCGUUGAUUUGUAUGAGAAACGUGCAUAGUAGGAAGUUGUAAGGCAGUUAUUUUUUGUCUUGUAGUUAUGAAAGUGAACUUGACAGUUUUCAAAAACAUAAGAGUAGAGAGUGUUGUUGCGAGGUUUAGAGAGAAACUUUUUGUUGUAACCUUUAAGGAUACUCAUCGUGGACGUAAACUUCAUUAACAAUAUAAACCACGUAAAAUUGCUUUUGUGAUUUUCAUACUCUGUUCUACUCCGUUUUACUUUCUCAUUCACGGUUUCUCUUUUUUUUAUUAAUAUUAUUUUGAUUAAAUGAUCCAGUGAAUUGUGUUUGCACUCAACAAAAUGGUGCGAUGAACAUGGAAUGAAGAAACUCAAACAAGAUUACUUCUGCAAAGUAUGAGGUUGACAAAUUCACUGGAUUGAAUGAUUUCUAGCUAUGGCGGUUGAAGAUGCAUGCUCCUUUAGUUCAAUGGACCUUCUUGAGGCUUUGGAAAGAGAUUUCAGGUCUGAAAAACUCAUGACUGAAAACGACAAGACUACAUUGUUAGAAAAGGCUCUUAGUGCAAUUUUUUUGAGUCUUGGUGACAAGGUCCUAAGGCAAGUUUCAAAGGAGAAUAUUACUAUGAGGUUAUGGACGGACUAUCUUGAAGCCACUUUAAAAAAACGUUACGUAUAACUUGUGGCUCUCUCACCCAAAAAAAAUGGGCGUACUCUCACUACAAGAAAACAUCAAAUUAACUUUCAAAUAUUAGCGUUGGCCAAAUUCUGACGUUGUUAUAGGAAUCAACUUAAGAGCUUGUCGAUGAGCUCGCCUGGGAUUUGAUAUAUGAACCUCCUAACAAUGCUCGGAACAUAGGUUGUAUUGAGGAGUGUGCAUACCAUUCAUACAUAACAAAACCAACUAUAUUAGCAUAUGUAAUACUGUAUAUAUAGCAUUAUUCCUCCAUUAUUUUAUGAGAUUUUUCAUCAUUCAACUUAUAAUGAGAUGCAAUAUGUGUGGAUAUAGGUUUUAAGUUUUUCAUACUAAACUUCACAAGGAUUUAUUUGAGAUAGGUCUCAUAGGACACAUGUAGAUGUUUCAAAUCACAUCGUCUAAUGAUCUUAAUCACCAAUAUAUUCCUAACUCCUAGGUCCUUCACAUGAAAGUCAUUGUUUAACAUAAAGUUAACCUUUUGUACAUCGGGUUUAUUAUCUUUUUCUAUUAAAAUGUCAUUUACAUACAUCAACAAUACAAUGAAGUGACCUUCUAAUAGAAACUUGAAGUAAAUGCAACUAUCUCUUGCUAUGUUAAAAACCAAUGCUCAUAAUGAACUCAUCAAAUCAUAUAUUCCAUUCCCUAUAAAGAACAUGUAUAUGGUGACGAUUAUUUUUGUAUAAAGUUGCAUUUACAACCGUCACAAUCUACAUGUGUGGUAAUUCUGUGUACCUCCACUGAUCUGGCCUUCAAAAGUAUAAUGUGACGGUCUAUAAACACCACUUUAUAUAUUAUAGUAUAAUGUUUGUAACCGUCACUAUUAUAUUAAAUUGUGAAUUAUUGUACGUUAGUAAUAACGGUUGUAAUUAGAGAAUUAAAUAUUUUAAUUUUUAAUAUUACAAUUUUUAAUAUUUUAUUGAAAUUGUUUUUAUAAUUUUCAACUUUUGUUCAUGAUAUAAUUAACUUGUUUCAAUUUAGACUAGCUGAAUUUUCUGAACCCACAACUAGUGCAAGAAAAUAUCAUGCAAGAAAAUAUCAUUGUUCCUCAUCACCUGAGGGUAUAACCUAAAUUAACAAGCUAAUAUGGUUAAACUCCAAUUCUAAUUACACAACACUAAAAAUGGACUCCUUUGUCACAACAAGGUGGUCUUCCCAUGUCAUCAACGUGUACAUGUUUAAGAGUAAGUAAAUCCAAGUUUACUUUAAAUAUCUGAACUAUUUGUGUAGCUUGCAUUUCUUUGCUAGUAAAGAAAAAAAAAUGAUGAUACCAAAUAAAAAAUUUAUCUCCACAUAUGCAAGCAGACAAAAUCAAGUAUCAAUUGCCAUAGAUCAUUGAGCUAAAAUUUGUUUCAAAACUUUUAGUUGAGCUGCUUAAUUAGAACAUUGAAGUGUCCAUUCCCAUCCUAUCUUAUGAGUGCAAAUGAUCUUCACACCACUUUACCAAAUUCAGGUGGAAGGCUAUUUAUUACUAGCACAUGUAAUGAUGACACUCAAUUGUAAUGCUAGUGAUAUAAAACUGGGAGCAGAGAUAACAAUUAAAUAAGAUGAGAACAAAAUAAAAGGAAAACAAUCUAGUAAAAAAUUAUUUGAUCAGCAUUAAUCAUCAUAAGGCAUCAUCUAUAAAGAUGAUUGCAAAAUGUUCCACAUAAUACUCUUAACACUUGUUGAUGUAGAGGAAAUAGACUAAGAUAAAGAACAUAUUUAACAAGACUUAGCAGAAAAUAAUAAUAAAAAUAAUAAGCUCAACAUCCUAUAAUAUUAAUACUCAUCCAACAAGAUUCAAGAUUCAAAAACAAAAUCUUGUCAGAAAAACAAAUCUGCUAAAUAAGACUAAAAGUACUAGACAACAUAACAACCAGAUAUCAAAACUUAGCAAAUAUGAAAACCAGAUAUCAAAACUUAGCAAAUAUGAAACAUACUUGAAGCAUAUGGUAAACCACCUGAAAUACAACUGAAGCAUCUAUGAUUAUUUUGUGUUUGGGAAUAUCCAUUAGUGUGCAAAAAAUAGUCAGCAGAUUUCUUUGUGUUAGAGGAUUUUCCAUUUCCUGAAACAUCAAAAGAUAUGAAGUUUGAAUCCACUUAUACUUAUUACCAAGAUGACAAACAUGACUCAAGAAUGAAGGGAGGGUGUCAUUCAAGUUGGUGGGGUAACUACGUCUUCGCGGUAAUGGCAGAGAUAGAACUAACGGCAACGACGCAUUGGGGUGGAUGCGUGUGGUGUGGGAUAUGAGAGUGAGAAGAGUUGGGUUAGGGUAUUUAUGAGAAUGGUUGAUGAUUCCAGGGUGAGGGGUCUGUGUUUCCAAAUGAGAGGAUUUCCAAAGAGAAGAGAUGAGAGUGUUUGCAUAGGGGUAAAAGAAAUGAUAUUUGUAGGAAUACAAUGUUUUGGGGAAUAAUAAUUUUUGGAAAAAAAGAAGAAUGUUGUGGAUGGAAUGGGGAAAAUUAGUUGAAGGAAAAAGAUGAAUGUGAUGGAGGCAACAAAAAUGUAGAGAGCGGUAUACUUCAUAAAAUGGCGAUGACAUAUUUUGAAGAGGAAAUGUGAUGCUAAUUAACAUGUCGUAUUAAGAGGGAGCAGUAGCAAUUUUUAUGCAUAUCAGAAUGCUUUUUUUUGGUGUUGAAUAUAAGUUGUGUUAGUAAAGACUCUGGCCAACUUCAUACCUUUUUUGUGGGUUUUUUCUGCUACCUAAUUGGGAUGCACAAGAGCUGCAUAAUUGAAGUUUUUGCUGCAUAAUUUUUUCUGGACUUGUAGGGGAAAUUAUGCAGGUUCUUUGUAGAAUUUUGCAGCCUCUAAAGGAGUUAUGCAGGUUCUCUUUCACUGCAGAAUUCUACAGCUUUAGUAUCUUAUUGGAAAUUCACAUGGAUCUAAUCUUUUGGAUGUUGGCCCUUGUAAAAGGGUUGGGACACCUCUUAAGUGUUCCUAGUAAUUUAAAUUCAUUCUUUGCUGAUAAAAAAAAAAUACGAAUAAUUGUGACAAAUUUUAAUAAUCGUCAUAUUAAAACCGCCACAACUUACAUAUUUUUUGUAGUGGUUGACUUAUCGAUUGUUUCAGACCAUGCAAGGAUAUGUUUAACUUAAAAACAUAAUGCUCUUUGUCUCCUAUCUCAAAUCAUUCUGGUUGCUUCAUGUAGAUAGUCUCCUUUAAUUAUCCAAAUAGGAAUGCAACCCUAACGUCUAUUUGUUCCAUCUCAAGGUUAAGUUCAACAACCAUGGCUAACAACAUCCAAAUAGAUUUGUCCUUUACUACAUGAGCUAACACAUUAUUAUAUUUAUCUCCUUCACUCAGAAAAGCCUCUAACCACCAAUCUCGCUUUUAAUUUUUUUAACUAGUUUGUGGAAUACCAUAUUUACAGCUAACCGACCUAGAACCAACAGGUCUAUAUGAAUAAGAGUCCAGGUAUUGUUCAGAUGAAGUGAAUUCAUCUCUUCAUUCAUGGUGGGAGAAGGCUUCUAUCUAGGUUAAGUGACAAAUGGAAUUAAUUUAGUGGUGGAAAAGUGAAAUGGUCAAAUGGUAUAGAAGUGGUUGUGGAAUGAUUUCUUGGAGAGAUAGUGUGGGAAAGUUGGUCAUGUGUUUGGUUGAAUAUGGUUUUGUGUUUUGGGGUGAUCUUUGUCGACUUUUGUGGAUAGAGGGGAUAUGAGAUGGGAAGCUUGACAAAAUCACAACAUAGAUACAAAAUAAAUGUAAUGGACCAAGCAAUGGACCAAGAUGCUAAUGGAGAAAAUGAAAAUGGAAUAGGAGUAAGUAAAGGUGGAGAUUUCCUUACCAAGUGUACACAUCCUAGGUUGGGCGGCCAUAUCCUAGACGGUCUCUUGAGACUCUUCUUAGAGGGUCCAAGAAGACAAUAGGAAGGAAGGCUACUUGGGAAAACUCAACCAAACAACUUUUUUUCAUGCUCAAACUCACUCACAAAAUGUGUGAUUUUACAUGGGCGAAUGUGCUCUUUUAUAGCCUAAGAGUCAUGAUAGUCAAGCUUCUAAGGAGAGUGUGAGACUUCUUAACACACGAUUUCCUUAGGAUUUUCUUAUUAUACACUAGUUAGACUUAACCAAACGGUCUACUGAGACCAUCUACCAAAUAUGAUAGAAAUUGUAAAUGAAACUCUAGAUGGUCUAACAUGAUAAGACUGUCUAGUAACAUUUAAACAAGUUUUUACCGAAUCAAUCUUCACAUAUUUGAAUGAUUUGAGGGAAAAAUUAAAAAUAAAACAAACAUUUACUAUCUUAAAAAUAUAACAAACAUUUCUUAACUGACAAUGCAUAAGUAAAUAUCGUUUCUAUUUUUAUUGGUACAUAGCUCACUCAGGUUUAUUCUAUUUCCAACGAAGUAGUAAUUUCUACUGUAGAACUAGUACACAACUCUGAAGAAAAUAACUUCUCAUUAAACAUCUCUCUUUGAAUAUAAAAUGCUGGUUUUUUAGGUAAAGACACUAUUGCACUCUUGUUUGUCAGCAUUGAUAUAACGUCAGACAUGGUUGGUCGAUCAUUUGCAUAUUGUUCAACACAGAGGAGACCAACAUGAAUACACCUCUGCACUUCAUCAUAAUCAAAUGACUCAUUUAAUGAUGGAUCCACUGAUUGAAAACACUUGUCAUCUAUCCAGAGUUCCCAUACCUGUAACUAUUUUAUUCAAAUUAGACAUAAAGAAUAUUAUACCAAAAAACAAACUCAUGAAAAUUAAUUUUACAUACAUGUCCAAUUAGAUUUAUUGGGCGAUCCUCAUCAUAAAAACUAGUGUUUUUACGUCCACUAACAAUUUCAAGCAACAAGACCCCAAAGCUAUACACAUCAGACUUUGUAGAAAAAACUCCUUCCAUAGCAUAUUCUGGAGACAUGUAACCACUGCAAGAAAUAUUAUAUCAAAAAAUAAAUUUUAUUUAUAGAUUGAUACAUAAGUUAAAUAUAACCAAGUUUAACAAGCUUACUAUGUCCCAACAACCCUGUUCGUAUUUGAUACUGAGUCUUGUUGGGUGAACAUUCUAGCCAUUCCAAAAUCUGAAAUUUUUGGAUUCAUAUUUUCAUCCAGAAGUAUAUUACUAGCUUUCAAGUCUCUAUGAAUGAUUUUGAGUCUUGAGUACUUGUGAAGAUACAAUAAUCCUUGAGCAAUUCCCUGUGUUAUGUUGAACCGUUUAUUCCAAUCUAGUAAUUUGCUUCUUGUACAAUCUACCACAUGGUAAAAAGAAUAAAAUGACUUUUCUUCAUGAUGUUAUAACUAGGAAAAUUGAGUAAUUCUAGUAAAUCUAUCAUCAACAAACAAUGACAGUUGAGAAAGAUCAAUUUGACCUACAUAUGUGUUUGAAUAGUUGCAUAAUAAUGAAAACAAGUUUUAUCUGUUUGACAUCAUAAACAAGACAUAAUUAGAUAAUGAUCAACACAUUCCUCACCGAAAAGAUAGAAAUCCAAGCUUUUGUUGGACAUAUACUCGUAAAUUAGAAUCUUCUCUUCUUCAUGAAUGCAACAACCAAGUAGUUGAACAAGAUUGGUGUGCUGAAGUUCACAUAUAAGUGUUAGUUCAUUUUUAAACUCAACAAUUCCUUGCGUAGAACUUCUUGAAAGUCUUUUUAUAGCAACCUCCUCUCCUGUUGGCAAAGUUCCCUAAAGAAAUGAUAACAAAAAGGUCAUGUGAGUCCUCCGAAAUAACUUUACCAGCACAUAACAUGAGCAGUUUCGAUCACCUUAUAAACUGGUCCAAAGCCUCCCUGUCCUAACUUAUUUUCUGAUGAAAACCCAUUUGUGGAUGCCACAACCAUUGUAUAAUCCAAUACUUUUAAACUGUGUCCCUUAUUCAAAUCAUUUCCAAAAUCUUCUAUUAGAGAUAAUUUCAUCUCCAUUUCUUUCCUUUUUUUCUCUGUUCAGAUGAAAAUGAGAAAUGUUAAAAUAUAGAAUAGUGAUAAAAAGAUUGUGUUUAACAAUGAGUUAGAAGUAUGUAAUGUAACUAACCUUGAAGUACAUGUUUUCGUUUCUUUAUGGCGUGGCAUAGAAUGCAUGCGCAUAGUAUGAGUAAAGCAGUUGCUAUUACUGUACUUAUCCAUAUCCACCUUUUUGUACCUGCAUAAAACAACUCAAAAUCUUCAAGUAUCAAUUAUAAUUUUACUGCUUAUUUCCUUUCCUAUUUGGAGAUCAAAGACUGCUAAAAAAAUGUGCAGUUCCCUAAGAUCCACAGUAAAGUUGUACAAAGAAAGAAAUGCACAAGAAGUAUUCACUCUUGAAAAAGGGUGUAUUCAAUUUAGGUAUGGUUGGAAUCUUUAGACUUUGCUGUACAUAUUAUAGGGUAUGAUGGGAACCAUUUGAAAUGAAACUUCUUUUUGUCUAUAAAAAAAUGAAAUGAAGUUGGCAUUGGACAUACCUUGAUGAUGAGGGAUUAUGUUCCCUUUGUUCUCCAGUAAGUAAAUGUCUUCAGCCGAAACGGAGCCGUCAACUAUAUAAUCUGUUGAUGAAUUCCAAUGAUAGAAGAAACAUCCAGUUCCAUCAUCAUAGAUUUGUUUGAAUCCAUUGCAAUUACAAUGGCUCCAGCAAGCAGCCUCACAAUCGCUGUAACUAAUAUUCUUAUUAUAGUCAAAGGUUAGUUUUUCAUAACUAGAGCGAAGACUCUUUUUGGUAAACACAUCACCAGGAAUCCUGCACUUGGGUAUAUCUUGCCAUCUUUGGCACCCUCCUUCUGUGUUGUUGUAUCCAUAACACAGAUCAGCCCUUGCAACAUAUCCAUCUUUGGCAUUGUAAUAUAACCGCCCAGUAUCUGAUAGCAACCACCGACGUGUAUGGCUUUCAUUUGUAGAUGUGAAAGAGAAGGUGUCUUCAUCCCCAUUGGACACUAUGCUGUAGUUCAACACGCCUUGUGCAUCUUCUGGGAUGUUCUCAAAUCUAUUGUUCCUCAGUUUCCCACUUUUCCAACAAACUUUUCCUCGCCUCCUUAUCAUCAGUUCUUGUCCCUUUGGUUCCCAUUCAAGACUAAAGGCACCUGGAGUCGCACGCUCAUUGGUCAAGUACGAAAAAAGUAACCAACGAUGGCCUGUUUUGUGGUUAACACCUAACUUCAUGGUGGGGAGCAAAGUGUGAGGGGAUAAUCAAAACUCUGCCACAAGAGAGUGGUUGUCCCAUUGGGGUGAAGGUGUUGAAGCACAAAGUUGCCUGUUUCCAACAAAGUGGCCACAGUGUUGUUGAUAGGUUGAGGAGGAGAAUACAGAAUAAAUGGUUUUUUCAGAGAUGAAGAUUCUACUUUGAGCACGCCAGAGAAGUUUAGGGAUAGAACUGCAUCACUCCUGUUGACAGAUUGUUCUUUAUUACAUUCCCAAUCCCAAGCUAUAGCACCGUCAUCUCUAUUUCGUAUUACUAAGUGAGUAAAAAUUUCAUCAUCUUGUCUACUAAACUCAAAUCCUAGAAGAUAUUUGCGACUCUUAGAAAAUAGAUGUGAAGAGGAGUUGAAUGUAUCACCGGGGUUUAAACUGUCAUCUGCUGCAUGAACAUGAACAGAAGAACUCAACCACAACCACAGCUGCAUGAAAGCAAGCACAAGUUUGUGAAGGAUAAGCCUCAUAGAAUGCUUCAAAUAUGGAAAGACAAGUCUGCAAGAAG
Molecule: long non-coding RNA, 63601 nt
Filed under: Phaseolus vulgaris (common bean)
Lineage: Eukaryota; Viridiplantae; Streptophyta; Magnoliopsida; Fabales; Fabaceae
Description: long non-coding RNA (PVUL_LNC000402)
Source: RNAcentral